This 78170-nucleotide long non-coding RNA is filed under the name Citrus maxima (pomelo). RNAcentral describes it as "long non-coding RNA (CMAX_LNC000490)". The record is from RNAcentral. Lineage: Eukaryota; Viridiplantae; Streptophyta; Magnoliopsida; Sapindales; Rutaceae.
AAUCGUUUCGUCUGCAUCCUGCAGUGCCUUUAUUAGUACCACGCAGAGCAAGCGAGAGUGGCAGCAUUGGUGGCUAUACCAUUCCCAAAGAUACAACUCUUAUGUUGAAUGUUUGGGCUAUCCACAGGGACCCUCAACUUUGGGAUAAUCCCUUAGAAUUUCGACCCGAGAGGUUUCUGAAUGUUGGUGUCGAGAGUAAGUUCGAUUACUCAGGUAACAAUUUUCAGUACUUACCUUUUGGUUCUGGUAGAAGAAUGUGUGCUGGGAUUCCUCUAGCUGAGAGGAUGCUGAUGUUUGUUUUGGCUUCGUUAUUGCACUCAUUUGAGUGGGAAUUGCCAGCUGGCACAAAGCUAAAUUUAUCUGAAAAAUUUGGGUUUGUCAUUAAGAAAAAAGAGCCUUUGGUUGCUAUUCCAACACCAAGACUAUCCAAUUCAGAGCUUUACCAUUAAAACAGAAUGAUUGUGAUGAUUUUGUUAGUAUCGGAAGAUUUGUAUGUUAUUUCAAGUUCAAUCGUAAUAAAAUAUUUUAAUAAAAGUCCUCCGUUGCUAAUUUUUUUUUUCAACGGCAUAAUCUGUCAUCAUGCUUGUGUUUGGAGCUACUUUGGAAUGAUUAUUUUUGAAUUACAAUUUAUAAAUAUUUAGGUUUUAAAUUUUUUAUAAGAGUCUAAAUUUAUACACGUUCAGUAAAAGAUUCCCUAAAAGCUUUACAAUUCAAAAUUCUAUUAAAAGUAUAGAUGAAACUUUUAUACCUACUAAUUUUUUGGUCUAUUCUACAAGUUUAAAGAGGAGAUAUUUCUAGAGCUAGCAAAAAGAGCUACCUGAUUGUUUUCGCGUUAUGUCAAUUUUUUUAUUGUGUUAAAUUUAAUUUGACCCACAUAUGACCCAUUUAAUAAUCGUGUCAAAAUAUUGAAACUUGAACUUGAUACGGAAAAUAAAUGGAUGACCACACACACCCAUUUAAGAAUUAGGUAACUAUGUCACUUAAUACGACAUAACCCAAUAACUCGUUUAAUACAUAUUUAACAUAAUUUACAUUGUACAUUGUACACCCUUUUGUCAUAAAUUACACUAUUUUAUAUUUCUAAAUAAUAUUAUAUAUUGAUAUUAUAAAAAAAUAUCAAUAAUCUCAAAAUUUGUACACCUCCUAACUUUUAAAAAGAAAUAAAAAAACUAAUUAAUUAAUGUUUAUUUUAUUCAUUAAUAUAUCAUAAUCCUACAUGUAUUUUAUUUGUUAUUUUUUUUAUUUAAAAAGAUAGGAGGGUGGAUGAAACUCAAAUAAAUUUUUAGCCUAUCCUGAUCUUUCAAGUUUCUUAUUUAGGAGGCCAGUUAAAAAAAAUUACUUAGAAAGCUACUCCAUCAAUUUAACAAAUUUUAUUUAUUUAAUUAAUGGAGGUGUAGAAAAUAAAAGUAUCUGCAAGCACAUUGCAAUAGUGAAAGCAAUGUACCGGUGUUGCAACAUAACUGAAUCUUGAUAACCUAUCACAUAUUUUAAGUUUUAAUAUUGGUAGUUCACGGAUCGGUUUCUACUUCCACGAACAAUUAUUGAAGGAAAUGAGUUUUUUUUUUAAUGAAUAUUUAUAGACCCCGAUUAAAUAUUCGAAUAUAUAAUAAAAGAGAAACUGACAUAGAAAUGAGAAAGAUAUUUGGAGGAGGCCAAAAAAAAAAAAAAAAAUGCAACAGAGAAUUAGAUCAGCAACACAAGUAACUAAUUAAUUCAUCUAUACAUCAUAAUCCUAUUUGUAUCUUCUUCCUUCUACUAAUUUACAUAUAAAUUUGGUUAGAUAAAACAUAUUUUAAUACUCGGUCACAAGCGGUGGAUAUAGAAAAUUAAUUUAGAGGGGGUAAUACCAUAACGAAAAAUAAUGAUUCAUAACUAAAAUCAACCCCAACAUCAAAACUUAUUUACAAGAUUACGCCCAGUCAAAGGUAAUUUUUCCUAAAAACUAAUACGAAAUUAAAUAAAUUUAACUUUUAGUGGGUUCAAGUGCCCACGCAUUCUGAACGUAGAUCCACCCCUGGCCCCGACUGAAGCAUUUUUUACAAUAUGUACUCAGUUUAUCAACAGGAACAACCUUCCACUUUAAAUUAAAAUUUUCACUUAAAAAUGAUUAAUGUUAAUGAGGUUAGCAACAAAAAUGAGUUUAAUUAGAGAAUAUUAUAAGAGAAAUUAUAUUUUUUGACUUUUAAUAAAUUAAAAUAUUAUUAGUUGGUGGUGGUUUCACGUCAGAUUAAGACGUGACACUUUACUUAUGAGGUCGAGACAAUCGACUUAAACUAUUUCAAUGCAUUUGAAAUUUGCACUAAUGGCUAUCAUUCUUUGUCCAAAUUAAUACGAUAAUUAAUAACAUACAAUUGAAAUAAUUAAUACUAGCACUUGGCAAUAAAUAAAGCUCUUGUGCUUGAAUCGUCACACAUGAUCACUUCAUUCCUUUAUUUACUUUGCUACCACAAAUUUUGAGGCAUUAUAACUAAAUAAUAAUUGAAUAGGGCUUUGUGUUACUUGUUGUGCGCGCGGAAUGCGGAAUCAAGCACACCAAAUUAUUACAGAAAAAUAAAGGACACAAUUAUUUGACGUGGUUCGGUAAUUAAACUUACAUCCACGGAGGCAAGAAAGAAUAAUUGUUUAUUUAACAAUUAAUAGAGUACAAAUAUUUGAGUAACGAAUCUCACUUCUCAGAAACCUAAAUAUACCCAAUACUCUCACACUCUGCAGGAAAGAUAAAUUAUCCAAACACACUUCUCUCACUUCUCUAAAAAACUUAAAAAUUUAAAAACUUAACAAUUUUGGAAUGCUUUAGAAUAGAAGAAGUGCCAUCUUAUAGGAAAAAUAAUGAUACUAUUGCACCAACCUCUUUACUAUUCCACCUAACAUAAGCAAAUUGUCAAUAGUGUCCAUUUAACUUUUUAUUUUUUUUCUUCAAUUGUUUAGUAGCCCUUUAAAAAUCUGCGUGGUUUCUUGAAAUUUAGAUGCCACAUGCAUGACUUUUCAACACUAAUUACUACGAUAAUUAAUAUUAGCACUUGGCAAUAAAUAAAGCUCUUGUGCUUGAAUCGUCACACACGAUCACUUCAUUCCUUUAUUUGCUUUGCUACCACAGAUUUUGAGGCAUUAAAACUAAAUAAUAAUUGAAUAUGGCUUUGUGCGUCGAUGACGCCAGCAACAAGGGGACCACAAUUAUCACUUUUUAAGUUGCUUUUAAAAUUGAUUUUAAUAGUGAUUUGAUUAUUGUAGUGUUUUUAUUUUUAUAUUAAAAUUAAGUCGAUUUGUUAUAAUAAACUUAGUUGAGUUUAAUGGUAUUACUACAUAAAUUGAAUAGUCAUCAAAUAUUUUAAUGUUUUUAUGGCAAGUGUUGACGUGGCAUUUAUUUGUUGUAUGAUGGAUUUUAAAAUUUAUAAAAUUAUUUGUUAUUAAAUUACCCCCAGAUGCUGCAUCACCUGAAACUUAAUAAAGGGCAUGUAGCAUUGCCAUUACUCAACAUUCACUCUUAUGACUUUAUGACAUUAGAAUUAAAAUCUUUCGUACAUUUAAUUUGUUUGCUUCCAGAUUAAUCUUUAAAAAUAUUUUUUUCACAUUAUCAUGAAUGGACAAAACUCCAACGAAAAUAACUACGCAAGAGCAAUCUAUGCUAGUAUUAUAUGCCACGAUAUCUAUAACUUUGUCAGGUCUCAGGAUCGAUCAUUCUAAUUUUUACGCAGAACUUUUAAUCAAUGGACAAACACCUCACCGAGCUUGUCGGCAGCAUUACUACGAUGUAAAAUUGUACCGGAAUAUCUUGAAGUAUUAGUAGAAUAAUGAAGACUAUUUGGAGCAAUAAAAACAAAUAACGCAGAUAAAAAAAAUGGCUAAAAUUAUGUAAGUGAGCCCCAAAGUUUUUGCUAUUUCCAGGAAAUCCCAAAUUUGAAUGGACUAGAGGGAGGCACGUAAGAAAUACAUUUUCUUCCUAGACAAUGACAGCUAUGACAUCAAGCCACGUAUUGAAAUUAAGGUGUAAUUAUUCAGCCAAUGAGCCUUACACACCAAGAUGUAUAAAAGUCAAGAAAAUGAAAUUUUAUCCCAAUUAAAACACUUUCUGGCUGCAAUUGGCUGUUUCCAUUUGAAGUUAAAAAACAACAACGUUUCUUUCGUUUUGUGGGCGAUUCGAUUGAGCACGCGCCACGAGCUAGCUGGCUUCCAGUGCUUGCGUGUGACAAUAGAAGGCUAGUGAUUUCACUUUCGCUUUUUUUUUUUUUUCUUUUUUUUGGGGAAUCAAGAUAAAAGCCAAGAAAAUGAAAAUUGGGCUGUUUCCAUUUGAAGUUAAAAACAGUGUUUCUUUCGGGGCGUCAAUUUGAUAUUUGAAUGGACAGGCAAGUAAGAAAUACAAUUCCUUCAUAGACAAUGACAACGAGGACAUCAAGGCACAUCAUUAUAGUUUGUAGCCCAUCUACAUUUAAACGAUUAAUAAACAAGCUUAGGUGUGCCACUGCUAUUAUUAAUUAUCCCCUGAUCAUUAUAGUUUCUGAAACAGUAAAACAAAACGAAAUUGAAUACAUCAACGAGAUCGCAAUUAUCACUUGUUUAGUUGCGGUAUUUAACUUAAUUUUAAUCUAAUAUAUUUGUUAGUUAAACUUUUAAUAAUCAAAUAAUUUUGACUUAAAAAUAAAAUUAUAGAAAUUAUUAAUUAUUAAAAAUUCACACAUAGCUAUUGUUUUCUCUAUAUAUUGCAGUGUGUACGAUAUUGAGGGUUGAAGCCCAAAGCAUGCCCUAAAAUCCAGAUAAUAAUUAGAUCCGGGCCAAAUAUUCAUCAUUGUGUCGGCUGAUCAGUCGGUGGACAUCUCUAUUGAAAAAAUCUCUGACAUUUCUCUCGACAAACUUAUUACUAAAAAAAAAUCAGUGGUUUUGCCGUCUGAAUAAUGUAGAAAAAUUUGUCUGUGCAUUAAUCUAGAUGUUUGAGGUGAUUUAUACAUCUGUGAUAAAGAUUUAUAGGUUGACUUAUACGUCUGUGGUAUAGAUUUUAUGUAUUUCAUUACAAAAUGCUGGCCGUUAGAACCCUUUCUACAUCUAUUUAUAAGAUUAACGGGUGCCAGUUAUGCCAUUACAAAUUAUCCCCUCAUCAGAUAUUUCGUUAAAAUUCAUUCUGAAACACUAAAACUAAAUAAUCGAACAUGGCUUUGCGGGUCGAUGAUGCCAGAAGCAAUUCGACUGCAAUUAUCACUUGUUUAGUUUCUGUGCUUGCCGUGGUUUACUUGGCAUGGAAUGUGAAAAAAUCAAGGAAAGCAAAUGCUAAACUGCCACCAGGACCUCCCGGCUUGCCUGUAGUCGGAUACCUCCCAUUUCUCGGAACUACUGACUUGCACAAGAAAUUCACGGAAUUAUCCGGAGUUUACGGUCCGAUCUUCAAGCUCUGGCUCGGAAAUAAAUUAUGUGUAGUGGUGAGCUCACCUUCCCUAAUUAGACAAGUGGUUCGUGAUCAAGAUACAACAUUCGCGAACCGUGACCCACCGAAGGCUGCACUAGUGGUCUCCUAUGGUGGCAAUGAUAUUGCAUGGUCCAAUUACGGUCCCGAAUGGAGAAAGUUGCGCAAAUUUUUUGUGGGCAAGAUGAUGAGUAACGCAAGCCUUGAUGCUUGUUAUGCUCUAAGAAAACAAGAGGUUAAAAAUACUAUCAGGGAUUUGUAUAACAACGACAACAAAAUUGGCAAGCCCAUUGACAUUGGUGAAUUGUCGUUUUCAACAUUGGUAUGUGCUAUACAGAACAUGCUGUGGGGUGAAGCGCUUGAAAUAAGAGAGAAAGGGACCACUAAUCUUGGGGCUGGGCUAAAAUUUAAGCUGGCAGAACUCAUGGUGCUUGCGGGAACACCGAAUAUUUCGGAUGUCUUUCCAAUGCUUUCAUGGCUUGACAUACAAGGUAUAGAGAGGAGAGCAAAGAAGAUUUCACUCUGGCUUGAAAAUGUUAUAAAUUCUACUGUUGAACAGCAUAGAAACAAGGAGUCAACUGUUGAAGGUGAAGAAAGAGCGGGGAAAAAUUUUGAAGGAUCAAGGAACAAGAACUUCUUGCAGUUACUAUUGGAGCUUCAAGAAAAUGAUGACAGUGCUUCCUCAAUUAGCAUGAACCAAUUCAAGGCCGUACUCAUGGUAUGUUAAGUAACUAGCAACGAACAGUUAUACAAGCACAGUUGUAUAUUUGCAUGAGUGAUAUUUUCAACCUUUUUUUUUAAUUAGAAUUUUAUUGUCACCUUUUGGACAGGAUAUAAUUACGGCUGGAACCGACACCACAGCUACGAUGGUGGAAUGGACAAUGGCAGAGUUGAUGCAGCAUCCACAAGUAAUGAAGAACGUUCAGGAAGAAUUAGCUCAAGUUGUGGGCAUGGACAGUUGUGUUGAAGAAUUUCACCUGUCUAGAUUAAAGUAUUUAGAUGCUGUGGUGAAGGAAACAUUUCGUCUGCAUCCUGCAGUGCCUUUAUUAGUACCACGCAGAGCAAGCGAGAGUGGCAGCAUUGGUGGCUAUACCAUUCCCAAAGAUACAACUCUUAUGUUGAAUGUUUGGGCUAUCCACAGGGACCCUCACCUUUGGGAUAAUCCCUUAGAAUUUCGACCCGAGAGGUUUCUGAAUGUUGGUGUCGAGAGUAAGUUCGAUUACUCAGGUAACAAUUUUCAGUACUUGCCAUUUGGUUCUGGUAGAAGAAUGUGUGCUGGGAUUCCUCUAGCUGAGAGGAUGCUGAUGUUUGUUUUGGCUUCGUUAUUGCACUCAUUUGAGUGGGAAUUGCCAGCUGGCACAAAGCUAAACUUAUCUGAAAAAUUUGGGAUUGUCAUUAAGAAAAAAGAGCCUUUGGUUGCUAUUCCAACACCAAGACUAUCCAAUUCAGAGCUCUACCAUUAAGACAAAAUGGUUGUGAUGAUUUUGUUAAUUUUCCGAAGAUUUGUAUGUUAUUUAGUUCAAUCGUAAUAAAAUAUUUCAAAUAAGAGUCCUCCGUUGCUUUUUUUUUUUUUUUUUUUUCAACGGCAUAAUCUGUCGUCAUGCUUGUAUUUGGAGCUACUUUGGAAUAAUUAUGUUUGAAUUACAAUUUAUAAAUAUUUACGUUUUAAAUUUUUUAUAAGAGUCUAAAUUUAUACACGUUUAAUAUCCCGCUUCAUAGAUAUUUAACACAAUUUAUAUCAUACAUUGUAUACCCAUUUGUCAUAAAUUAUACUAUUUUGUAUCUCUAAAUAAUAUUACGUAUUGAUAUUAUAAUAUAUAUAUAUAUGUUUAUCAAAAGACUAUACCAUUCAAUAUAUAUUGAAAAGAGAACAAAGAAGAUUUUCUUAUGGUUUAAAAAUAUUAUGAAUUCUGCUGUUGAACAGUAUGGAAACAAGGUCUCUGUUGUUAAAGGUGAAGAAGCAACAGGGAACAAUAUUGAAGGAAGAAAUUUCACAUGUUUAGUUGCUGAAUUUGCCGCUGUAUUCUAUCGGUAGUAGAGUUUUUAUUUUUCUCUAUUAAUUUAAGUCAAUUUUCUAUAACAAAUUCGGUUGAGUUUAAUUGUGUUAUAAUAUAAAUUGAAUGAUAAUAGAAUUUUCAACAAAUAUUUCAAUAUUUCUAUCUCGAUUGUUGAAGUGCCAUUUAUUUGUUAUGCGAUCGAUUUUAAAAUUUAUAAAAUUAUUUGUUACUAAAUUGCAUCAUAUGCUAAAAUCACCUGAAACCUAAUUCCAUAACUAACCCUUUAUUUUUAGUUCUCAAGAAAUCUUGUAAGAACAAAAAUCUUUUAUAACAAAACUUUUACAACACAUUAAUUUGUAACUCAUUCCUGUGCGCGAAUCACUCUCAAUUUCCUUCAAUUGCUGUUUAACAAUCAUCUACUUAUCAAAAUUCAAGCAUAAUCUUUUUUUUUUAAUUUCUUCAUCAUUCUUUAAAAAAAAAAUCAGGAUAUGCUGUUAAAUUUUGAAAUAAAUAAAUUAACCAAAGUUGGUUGAUGUGAGUGGUUCAAUGAUGAGCAUAAUUUAUAUACAUAUUUUACCUUUAAUUAUAUAAUUAUUAGUUAUUUUUAUUAGUUAUUUUUAAUUAAUUGAAUUAUUUUAUUGCAUAGAGAAUUAAUUGGAGAUUGGGAAACAAAAAGUGCAUAAAGAAUAACAAGUUUGGGAAAGCAUCAAUCAAAGCCGUGACGCAAUUAAGAGUUUAUAGCAUAUGAAGCCAAGAGUAAUUUGCACUCAAAAAGAAUUUCAAUUAUUCAAGUGACCUGGACCUGCAUGGCAUUGUAAUGCAUGGAAAGCAACUUAAAGGGGCCCACACUUGGCUUUUACAAUUGGAAAAAGGAAUCCUAGUGCAAGCUUAAUUGAUGAGCACGUGAGUGAGAGCAAAGAAAAUUAAAAGGCCAAGCCUUUUGGCUUAAGGAAAUAACAAGGUCGGUGGGGCCCAUUUUAAAGAGUAAUAUAAAAGCAAGCUUUUGGCUUUUGGAGAGAGGAGCCGCGAGAGGAGGAAAACGCAAGACAAAGAGAAGAAAAUCUGCAGCAGUUCGGCUUCUAUGGUUGGUUUUAUCUCUUUUGUUACUCUUAAUUCAAAUAUGUCUAGUUAAUUUUCUUAUAUUAAAGUUAAGGAUGAAACCCUAUUCAAUGAAAUAAUUAUCUUUUUAUUUAUUUAAUUCCCAUAUAUGUUCUUUAAUGAUUAUGAUUUUUAUUUCACAUGAUUAAUUGGAUGUUAUUAAAAUUUUUUCAUCAAUUCUGUCAUGCAUUAUUGAUUGUUAGGAUUAAUAUUCAAUUAAAUCUAUACUUAGAUUUAUAACGUUUAUACAUGAUUAUCUUUGAUUCUAUGUCUUUCAUUAAAUUGUUUACAUGGAGUGCUUAGGAAAACUUUGACUCUUUGUUAUUCAAUAUGUUCACAUGGGAUACUUAGAUGUCAUACUAUUAAGCGGAAAAAGAACCUAUAUUAGAUUUAAUUAUUUGGGCUUAAUUGUUAUAUCCAUGAGAUGACACAAAUUGAUUUCGAGUUGUCACUCUAAAAUUAGAGAUUAAUGAAUAUUUAGAUAAUUACUAGUUGAAUAGCGGUGGAUUCUGAAACCUUGGUAAUUUCUAUCUUAUUGAAUUCUCCUUUACUUUAAUUGUUUUCUUAGUUUAAUUAAUUUAAUUUCUUUUAAAACUCAAUUUGCUUAACUAGGUUAGAAUUAAUAUUAAUUUUAGAUUUAAAUUAGACUUUUCAAUUUAUAACAAUCCAUGUGGGAUCGACCUCGUUACCACUACUUUAUUUCUAGAUUCGUGCACUUGCGAGUAUAUUAAAAUUUUCACAACAAGUUUUUGGCGCCGUUGCCGGGGAUUGUGCCAGAAAGUCAGUUUAAUCUAGGUUGAUUUGAUUCUUCCACUAGUUAUAAUUUAUGUUGUCUUUUAUUUUAUUAUUAUUUUUAAUUAACAAAAACACACAAAAAAACUUUUAUUUUUCUUUAAAUUCAUUGUUUGGUUGUUUGAUUUCUUUUAUUUUUUAAAUUUUGUUUAUUCUCAUUAUUGUUGGUUUAUUUUAUUUUAUUUUUUUCUUUCCUUGUCUAGUUAGUUUAUGAGUGUUUGGGAAUGUGAUUCAACAAAUCGUUUGGUAAAAGAGAGUCAAAAAUUGAUAGUAGUCAAGUUAGUUCUUCUGAAGUCAUGGAUGACCCAAAUAGAUUAUUGCCAAUACUUCCACCAGUGCAAGCAGAGAAAACCCUUAGAGAAUAUUUUUCACCACUUGCAGCCAACCAACCAUCUUGUAUUGUGUUGCCACAAACUACAGCAACACACUUUGAACUUUUUGAACUUAAGCCCUCAGUCAUCCAACUUUUACCAUCUUUCCAUGGGUUAGAGAGAGAGGAUCCAUAUUUGCACAUUAAGGAAUUUCUUGACAUAUGCUCUACAUUCCGUUUUCAAAAUUUUAAUGAUGAGUUAAUCAGGCUUCGUAUGUUAUCUUUCUCAUUAAAAGACAAAGCAAAAGCUUGGUUGAAUUCGCUUUCUGCUGGGUCUAUAACUACGUGGGAUGAAUUGAAUAAUAAGUUCCUCACCAAGUUUUUCCCUAUGUCUAAAACAAAUGCCCUUAGGAGAGAGAUAAGUGAUUUCUAUUAAAGAGAGGGUGAGCAAUUUUAUGAGUGUUGGGAAAGAUUCAAUGAUUUACUCCUCAAGUGCCCCCACCAUGGUUUUGAGAAAUGGAGACUUAUACAAUGCUUUUAUAACGGUUUAACCAUGUCGAAUCGUCAUAUGGUAGAGUCUAUGAAUGGUGGGAGAUUUUUGAACCUACAUGAAGGGGCUGCAUGGGAUUUCUUUAAUUCACUUUCUGAGAAUUCUCAACAGUGAGAUUUUUCAAGCCAAAGGGAAAAAUCAUCUCAAGUUUCUAGAAAGGGGUUAUAUGAAGUUAAGGAUGAUUUUGAUGUGAAAUCCACUCUAAUUACACUUUCUAGAAAAGUAGAUGCCUUAGCUCUGAACCAAUCAAUGAAUCAUCAUCCUAGUGUAGCUAAUGAGGUUUGUGCUAUUUGUUCUAACUUGUCUCAAACAGCACAAAACUGUCCAUCAUUACCAGUCUAUCCAGAGGCUUAUUCUGAGCAGGUACAUGCCUUACAAUCAUAUGAGAAAACCUCCAAUAAUACAUAUUCACUCACAUAUAAUCCUAAUUGGAGGAAUCACCCUAAUUUUUCUUGGAAACAAAAUCAAUCUUUGUCAAACCAAGGAGGACAACAAUUUAACAUGCCCAAUCAACAAUUUGUCCCUCCUAACCAAGUAUAUCCUCCUGCCCAACAACCUAUAUCUCAAUUUGUUACACCCCAACAAAGAAAACCUUCUUUAGAGGAUACACUUCAAAGUUUCAUUCAGUCAACCUAAUAAGCUUUUCAGUCAAACACUCAAGCUAUUCUAAAGCUUGAACAUCAAUUGGGUCAAUUAGCAACUACUGUAGCGGAGAAAGAAAAAAGAAAAUUCCCCAGUCAAUCAAUUCCUAAUCCUAAAGGAGUGCAUGAAGUUGGAUCGAGUUCAAGCCAUCAGCAUGAAGAAGCAAAAUCAAUUAUGACCUUGAGAAGAGGAAAAUUGUUUGACAACAAAGUGGAGGUUCAAACAAAGAAGACAUCUGAGCCUACUUCUUCAGAUCCAAUUACAUCACAAGAAUCAUCACCAAAUGAUCUUGAAGAGAGUGACCCGCUAGCUUACAUUCCCAAGGCUCAUUUUCCUCAAAGGUUAACAAAGGUAAAGAAAGGGACUUCAACAUGUGAGAUUAUAGAAAUCUUCAAGCAGGUAAGUAUAAACAUCCAUUUACUCGAUGCUAUUAAGCAAGUUCCUUCCUAUGCCAAGUUUUUGAAAGAUUUAUGCACUAAAAAGAGAAAUUUGCAUGUCACUAAAAAGGCGUUUUUAACUGAACAAACUAGCAAUUUACUUCAAUGUAAAAUGCCACCAAAAUUUAAGGAUCCUGGUUCUCCUACUAUUUCAUGUGUUAUAGGGAACCAAUGUUUUGAUAAAGCAUUAUUGGAUUUAGGUGCUAGUGUUAAUCUCUUACCUUAUUCCAUUUACAUGCAGCUUGGACUAGGUGAGUUAAAAUCAACUCCUAUUAUUUUGCAACUUGCUGAUAGGUCAAUGAAAAUACCUCGUGGUAUUAUAGAGGAUGUGUUGAUACAGAUUGACAAAUUUUAUUAUCCUGUUGAUUUUAUUGUUAUUGAUACUCAACAUGUACAUGAUCUUAAGAAACACACUCCACUUAUUCUUGGUCGUCCUUUCUUAGCUACAGCUGAUGCUCAUAUUAGUUGCAGGACUUGAAACAUGCAAUUGUCUUUUGGUAACAUGACCAUGGAAUUAAAUAUUUUUAAUGUUCCCAAGCAGGCACAAGAAGAUGAUGAAGUCGUUGAAGUAGAUAUGAUAGAAGCAUCAAUUGAUGACUCACUUAUUUCUAACCAUUGUGACAAUCCAUUAAUACCUUGCACAACUGACUCUGAUUUCUCUAUUGAUGUUGAUAGUGAUAUUGAAGAAGUUAAUGCUUUACUUGAUUCGACUCUUAUCAUAGAUCUAAUUAAGUGGAAAGAAAAGAUAAGAUUGAGCCACUUCCUCCUGAAGAGAAAAGUGCAACAUAGGUCACAUUCUGACAUAAAAAAGGUGGUAAGAUCUAAAACGCUUAAAUUAUUAGAUUUUUAUACUACUUUAGAUAACUCUCAGGAAAGCUUAGAACAGAAGAGAUCAAAGCAAUGCGAUAUUGAGGAGUUUCAUUACCAUCAUCCUUUUAUGGAUAAAAUGCUCCAGUGCUUAAUCAAUUAUGCUUUUUGGUAUUUUCUAUAUAAUUGCUUUAAUUUUCACCAAAUUCUUAUUGAUCCUGGUUGAUUUGUUGUUUACAUUAAUUAGUUAGUUAGUCGGAUUUUUUUAUUAUUAUUUAUAUUUCUUCUAACGUUUUCUUUUGAGUUGUCAUUCUUUUAAGUUUUCCUAGCUCAGUCAGGUGUGUUCUCUCCAACUUUCUCUUUUAUUAUUUAUGUUUUUAUUUUUCAUCUUUUUGCGUGCAUAUCUUUUAUUUAUGACACAUUGAGGACAAUGUUCCGAAUAAGUUUGGGGGUGGGAAUAAUGUUGCUUUGUUUGUUAAAAAAAACUAAAAAAAAAUUUCAAAAAUUCAAAAAAAAAUUGUGUUUUUUUUGUUUUUACGUGAAAAGCCAAUGAUAAAAACUUGAUUGACAAUGAAUAUGGUUUUUAGAAAGGGUUUAAUAUUGUCUUAAUUUAUACUUGAUUCUUAUGUUAGUUCCUCUUGAUUGAGAUUCUUUAAAAUAUAAGCACUAAUAUCAAUUCUUUCAUAAUUUUGACUUGAAAUUUGAGAUUGACGCAGCCUGAGUUGAGAAUUUUAGAUAGAGUAAAUGACUGUUUGUCUUUAUUCUUAUCUCCACAAUACAAAAUAGUAUACACAGGCACCAAAGUCAGAAAUAACUACCUAUAAUCCUUAAGAGUGAAGCUAUCCUUGAGUAAUUUAGGCCUAUGUACCACAAGUAUGUAGAGGAUAAUCUACCAUGAGAAGAAUGCUACCUUAAGGGGUAGAGUGAAAGCUCCUGACUAUGGUUAAAAAAAAAAGAAGAAGAAAAAGAGAAAGAAAAAAUCAAAUCAAGUGCAUGUGCUGAAAAAAAAAUCAAAAGAAAAUGCACAUAAAAGCCUGUGAAAAAAAAAUUGGAGAUUAAGAUGAUAAGAUUAGCUUGACCUACUCUUUUCUUUUUUUGAGGCGAAGGUUGUUGAUAUUGAAGAUUUUAGGAAUGAAUUUGAUUGAAUUGAUUUCACACACACACAACAAGAAUCGAAAGAGAGAUGGGAUUGAUUAUUGAAUUAAAGUUAGAACUUUGCCAAUAUUUGAAAUUUUGUUUGAGCUAUAUAAUUUAUGCAAUCUUUGAGGGUAUUUUCAUAUUUUAUUUAAAGUUUUUUUUUCUUUUUAUUUUAUUUUAUUUAUUUUUUAUUUUUUUAAAAUGAUGUUUGUGGGUGUCAUCACUGAAGCUCUCACGAGACUAUAACUCGUCCACUAGGGGUUUAAAGGCUUGUUGCAUACGCUAAAUGCAAUCGCGAUUACCUGCGAAAAUGGUUUAGUUAGGAUUUACUUUUUGUUUUGUUAUUUUUUUUUUUUUUUUUAGUUUUAGCUUUGCUCGAGGACUAGCAAAAUCUAAGUUUGGGGGUAUUUGAUGAGCAUAAUUUAUAUACAUAUUUUACCUUUAAUUAUAUAAUUAUUAGUUAUCUUUAUUAGUUAUUUUUAAUUAAUUGAAUUAUUUUAUUGCAUAGGGAAUUAAUUGGAGAUUGGGAAACAAAAAGUGCAUAAAGAAUAACAAGUUUGGGAAAGCAUCAAUCAAAGCCAUGACACAAUUAAGAGUUUAUAGCAUAUGAAGGCAAGAGUAAUUUGCACUAAAAAAGAAUUUCAAUUAUUCAAGUGAUCUGGACGUGCAUAGUAUUGUAAUGCAUGGAAAGCAACUUAAAGGGGCCCACACUUGGCUUUUACAAUUGGAAAAAGGAAUCCUAGUGCAAGCUUAAUUGGUGAGCACGUGAGUGAGAGCAAAGAAAAUUAAAAGGCCAAGCCUUUUGGCUUAAGGAAAUAACAAGGUCGGUGGGGCCCAUUUUAAAGAGUAAUAUAAAAGCAAGCUUUUGGCUUUUGGAGAGAGAAGCCGCCAGAGGAGGAAAACGCGAGACAAAGAGAAGAAAAUAUGCCGCAGUUCGACUUCUAUGGUUGGUUUUAUCUCUUUUGUUACUCUUAAUUCAAGUAUGUCUAGCUAAUUUUCUUAUAUUGAAGUUAAGGAUGAAAUCAUAUUCAAUGAAAUAAUUAUCUUUUUAUUUAUUUAAUUCCCAUAUAUGUUCUUUAAUGAUUAUGAUUUUUAUUUCACAUGAUUAAUUGGAUGUUAUUAAAAUCUUUUCAUCAAUUCUGUCAUAUAUUAUUGAUUGUUAUGAUUAAUAUUAAAUUAAAUCUAUACUUGGAUUUAUAAAGUUUAUACAUGAUUAUCUUUGAUUCUAUGUCUUUCAUUAAAUUGUUUACAUGGAGUGCCUAGGAAAACUUUGACUCUUUGUUAUUCAAUAUGUUCACAUGGGAUACUUAGAUGUCGUACUAUUAAGCGGAAAAAGAACCUAUAUUAGAUUUAAUUAUUUGGGCUUAAUUGUUAUAUCCAUGAGAUGACAUAGAUUGAUUUCGAGUUGUCACUCUAAAAUUGGGGAUUAAUGAAUAUUUAGAUAAUUACUAGUUGAAUAGUGGUGGAUUCUGAAACCUUGGUAAUUUCUAUCUUAUUGAAUUCUCCUUUACUUUAAUUGUUUUCUUAGUUUAAUUAGUUUAAUUUCUCUUAAAACUCAAUUCGCUCAACUAGGUUAGAAUUAAUAUUAAUUUUAGAUUUAAAUUAGACUUUUCAAUUUAUAACAAUCCCUGUGGGAUCGACCUCGUUACCACUACUCUAUUUCUAGAUUCGUGCGCUUGCGAGUAUAUUAAAAUUUUCACAACAUUCGGCACUCUCACUCCUUAAGAGAGGUCAGGGGUUCAAGCCUCGCUCUCGUAUGGAGUCACCACUUUGACCAGCACUUUACCCCUUACAGACCGACCCGGUGCGAGCAUGAAUUAGUCUGGGUUGUGGUACGGGCUUAAAGGUGCCUCCCACAAUUGAGACCCACUCAGGACCACCUCGUGGUUCGGACAAAAAAAAAAUUGAAAUAAAUUAUCUCAAAAUAAUUACUAACCAGAAAAAACAAAGGGGUUUAACUAGGUUAUGCAUACCUUUGAAAAUUAUAUGUUGAUCGAUAAGCAUGAUGAUCACGAUUGAGGAGUUUAAUUAAAAUUUAUAAGAUUUUAAAAUUAAUCAGGGUUAAAUUCUAAAUUUUAGAAAGAGAGGUUUUGUGAGAAUGCUGAAAGGGUGUUAAUAGUUCCACUCUUUUUUAAAAAAACCAUAGUCAUCAUUUUUCCCGAUUUCUUCUUCCCAUCUCCAUCUUAUUUAGAAAUUUCCCAGAGCCUUUGUUUCCCACCAUUCAUUUUUCUUCUUUCUAAUUUAAGAUUAUAGUAUUAUAAAAAUAAUUACUCACAUUUUAUCAAACACCUCCAUUAUACCAAGGCCUUGUUUUAGUAGUAGGCUUUUAUUAUCUCAAUAAAAUUGAAAAAACAAAGCUCAAUAAUAUUGGAAAAAAAACCUACCCAUAUUUGUAACUUUAAUUUAUUAUUCUCCAUAGACCUACUUUUUAGCUUUGAAUUUUGUUGGAGCCAUAUAUAAACAGAAUAUGUUGAAAUCAGCACAAAAAAAAAACUAAUUAUAUAAUUUUUGUUCCCAAGGACACGACUGUGUGAUUUUUAAGAAGUUUUGUUUGGCUGGCCACUUAGGUUUAAAUCUUGGUGGAGAUUAGGGGUUAAGAAAUAAAUUUGGACUUUGCACACCCCUUUAACUUUUAAAAAGAAUGAAAAAAACUAAUUAAUUAAUCUUUAUUUUAUUUAUUAAAUGUCAUAAUCAUAUGCAUAUUUUAUUUGUUAUCUUUCUAUUUAAAAGAUAGGAGGGCAAAUAAAACUGAAAUAAAUGUUUAUCCCUAUCUCCAUCUUUCAAGUUCCAUAGUUAGGUGACCAGCUAAAGAAAAUUAAUUGAAAGUUACUCCAUCAAAUUAAAAAAAAUUAUUUAUUUAAUUUGUGGAGAUGUAGAAAAUCAAACCCCAUACCUUUUCGCAUGCAAAAGUGUCAACCUGGUCUAGCUAUGUUGCAACAGUAAACAUAUUUUAAUACAUGACUAUCAUCUUUUAUCCUAAAUACUACUAUAACUAUGGGUUCAGUUAUGCUGUAACUGUGGUAUGGUACCACAGUUGUUUUCAACCAUUAAAUUCAACUUAUAUAACUAUGCAACUGUAGAUCUAACGGCUGAAAGCAACUAUGGUACCAUACCACAGUUGCAACAUAGUUUUGCCCCUAUAACUCAUAACAUUCAAUUGAAAUAAUAAAUGUUAACACUUGGCUAUAAAUAAAGGUUUUGUACUUGAAUCUUCAUGCAUGACCUUCAUUCCUUUAUUGACUUUGCUAACACAGAUUUUGAGGCAUUAAAACUAAAUAAUAAUUGACUUUGUGGGCCGAGGAUGCCAGCAACAAGGAGACCACAAUUAUCACUAGUUAAGUUACUCUAAUUGCCGUUGUCUUAUAUUCAUAAAAUAUUAGUAAUAAGAUUAUUGUAGAAUUUUUUUAUAUUAAAAUUAAGUCAAUUUGUUAUAACAAAUUUAGUUGAGUUUAAUCGUGUUACUACAUACAUUGAAUAAUAAUAGAAUUCUCGACAAAUAUUUCAAUAUUUUUAUCCCAAGCGUUGGAGUGGCAUUUAUUUGUUAGACAAUCGAUUUUAGAACUUAUAAAAUUAUUCGUUACUGAAUUGCACCAUAUGCUGCAUGACCUGAAACUUAAUAAACGGAACGUAGCGUUGGCAACAUUCACUGUCAUGACUUUGUGACAUUAGAAUUAAAUUUUUUUGCACAUUUAAUUUGUUUACUUCCAAAUUAAUAUUUAACAAAAUAUUUUUUCACAUUAUCAAUGGACAAAACUCCAACGAAAAUAACUAUACAAUAUAUGCUAGUAUUGUAUGCCAUAUCAUCUGUAAUUUUGUCAGGAUCGAUCAUUUUAAUUUUUAAGCAAAACUUUUUAUCAAUGGACAAACACCUCACACAGCUUGUCAGAGGCAUUAUUAUGAUGGAAAACUGAUAAACAGUGAACUCGAAACUCAAUUACUACAAGUCGUUUAGAGGAUUCAGUCUUGGAUGACUUGUCACUUGUGGAAUUCUUGAAGCCAGAACCGACAUAAUCUCAGUCGUCAUUCUGUCUUAAGUAAUACACAUGGUUUGCAUGUGUGUUGAAGCUGACUCUUUGCUUGGAUCAAGAAACGACGUCUUUGAGUGCCGUUUCUUAAACACACUUUAAAUCAGCUUGUGUCAAGCACGUGAGGUAGAGCUUUUUGAAUAGAUUUGGCGGGAAUGGUAGUUAGUGUAACAACCCAGAAAUAGAGGUUAAAAGGUGAAGGCUUUGUCAUCAUCUACACAUGAUUUGGGAAACAUUGAGAGUAGAGAAAAAGAUAGAGAGAGAAAGGGGUUAACAAGUUCUUGUUCUCUGUAAAUCGAUUUAUAUUCUUGUAAAGUUUGUGAUCUCAAUUAGUGAAAGACUGUUGCUUUGUUUCCAGUGGAUGUAGGCACCACUUCUUGGUGCUGAACCACUUAUACUUGGUGUCAUAUUGUUUCUUUAAUGCUUUGAUUCUUGCGUGUGAUUGUUGCUGGAUAAUCUGUGCUGUUAAUUCUCAAACCAUUGAUACAGAAUUAAUGUCUUGGGGAGAAUUUGGUUAGUCUUAUCAAAGCCGAAUUCACAACAAAUUGGUAUCAGAGCCCUCUUUUCUGUAUCAAGGUUCAAGAAAUGACUAACAAGGUGGAUCUUGAGAAGUUCAAUGGUCAGAAUGAUUUCAAUAUGUGGAGGAUCAAGAUGGAAGCAUUGUUAAUCACACAAGGUCUGGGAGAUGCCAUUGAUCCAGUCAUUAAGAGUGAAAAUGCAGAAGCCUAUUCUUCAAGAACUCCAGAACAGAUGGCUAAGAUUGAAAAAAAGGCAAGAAGCACCAUCAUCCUCAGUCUUGGUGACUUAGUGAUAAGGGAAGUUGCCAAGAAAAAGACUGUUGCUAGGCUCUGGGCAAAACUGGAACAAUUGUAUAUGACAAAGUCCUUAGCAAACAGGCUAUACAUCAAGAAAAAGAUGUUCUCACUGAGGAUGAUUGAAGGAGCAUCACUUGAUGAACACAUAGAUGAGUUUAAUAAAGUUUGUGAUGAACUGGAAACAAUUGAUGAAGGACUGAGUGAUGAGAGCAAGGCUUUGCUGUUAAUCAGUUCUUCACCAAAAUCAUAUGAACAUUUUGUGGAUGCCUUGUUAUAUGGAAGGCAAUCACUCUCCUUGGAAGAGGUUAAAUCUACUCUUGGUACCAAGAAGUUAAAAGAAAAACAAGAUAACUCAGAGAGUGAAUCAAGUGAAGGGCUGAUGGCAAGGGGCAGAUCUGAAAAAAAGGAGUACAAAGGAAAAAAACAAGGGAGAUCAAAGUCAAAGCAGAAACAUUUGAAGUGUUUUCACUGCCACAAAGAAGGGCAUUUCAAGAGGGAUUGCCCUGAGAGAAAAACAAAGCAAAAGGAAUCAAAAGACAAAUCUGGAAAUACAGCAAUAGCCACAGAAGAAACCAGUUUUGAGAUAGCUGAAGUCCUCAUUGCCACAAAAGAAAAAAACUCAAGGUCAGUGGGUACUAGACUCUGGAUGUACUUUUCAUAUGAGUCCAAAUAGAAAUUACUUUACUACAUAUCAGUCCUGUGAUGGGGGUAUGGUGCUGAUGGGAAAUAAUUCAGUUUGUAAAGCAGUUGGGAUUGGGACUGUAAGCCUUAAGAUGUAUGAUGGCAUGGUUAGAGAACUAACUCAGUUUAGGCAUGUUCCUGAGCUUAAAAGGAACCUAAUAUCUAUUGGCAUGCUUGAUCAAACUGGAUGUGUCAAUAAGGCUGAAAAUGGGUCAUUGAAAGUUAUCAGAGGCUCAAUAGUCAUAAUGAAAAGUUCCAAGCAAAAUGGUUUGUAUGUGUUGAAUGGACAUACAACUGUUGGAGAGGCAAGUGUCACUGAGAAGAGUGAAGACAAAGCAAGACUAUGGCACUUGAGGUUGGGGCAUAUGAGUGAAAGGGGAUUGAAGGAGCUUCAAAAGAAUGGGGUGUUUGGAAGUGACAAGCUAAGUUCUUUGGGGUUCUGUGAAGACUGUAUCCUAGGGAAGGCUUCCAAUCUCAAGUUUGAAUCUGCAGUUCAUUCUACCAAAGAGAAGCUUGCAUAUAUACACUCUGAUAUGUGGGGGCCUGCACAGGUAAAUUCUCUUGGUGGCUUUAAGUAUUUCUUAUCCUUAAUAGAUGACUAUUCAAGGAUGGUUUGGGUGUAUGUACUCAAAACCAAAGAUGAAGCUUUGGAAAAGUUUUAGAGGUGGAAAAUUCUGGUAGAAACACAGACAAGUUUGAAAGUAAAAGCUCUAAGAACAGAUAAUGAAUUGGAAUUCUGCAACAAAGAGUUUGGAGACUUUUGUAAAAGACAUGAGAUUAUGAGGCACAAAACAGUCAUACACACACCUCAGCAAAAUGGUUUUGCUGAGAGAAUGAACAGAACCUUAAUGGACAAGGUGAGGUGUAUACUGCUAUACUCAAAGCUGCCUAAGUCACUCUGGGCAGAGGCCUUAAACACAGCAUGUUACUUGGUAAAUAUAAGUCCAUCUACAGCAAUAGAAUGCAAAACACCUAUCGAGCUAUGGUCUGGAAGGGUUGCAGAUUACUUUAAACUGAGAAUCUUUGGAUGUGUUGCUUAUGCAUAUGUCAAACAAGGCAAAUUGGAGCCAAGAGCUUUAAGGUGUAGAUUUCUAGGAUACCCUGAUGGAGUUAAAGGCUAUAGGCUAUGGUGCAUUGAUUUGAAGCCACCAAAAUGCAUUAUCAGCAGGGAUGUAACUUUCAAUGAGUCAGAAAUCUUGAACAAAUCCAAAACCACUUAAUCCAAAGAUCAUAUAUCAGAAACAAGACCUGGGAGUGUUCAGUUUGAGGUGGAGUCCUAUGAACAAGAUAGGACUGAAUCAGAAACUGAAGGAGAUUCAGGAAGGGUUACUGAUGGAUUUGAUGUUGUUCAGGAGUCAGAGCCAGCUGAGAAUGAAGAUAAUUCUUAUCAGUUGGUCAGGGAUAGAAAGAAGAGAGCUGUAAGACCACCUAAGAGGUAUACAAUAGCAGAUUUCAUAGCUUAUACAUUAACAGUUGCACAAGAGGUAAAUGAGGAAGAGCUAAGAACCUAUAAAGAAGCUAUAAACAGCAUGGAUAAGAUGAAAUGGAAGGAGGCUAUGGAUGAGGAAAUUGAAUCACUAAUGAAAAAUGGAACUUGGAAGCUGAUAGUUAGACUAGAAAAAAGGAAGACUGUUAGCUGCAAAUGGAUCUUCAAAGUUAAGGAAGGUAUAUCUGAUGCUGAACCUAGUAGGUUUAAAGCUAGGCUGGUAGCAAGAGGCUUCACACAAAGAGAGGGGAUUGAUUUCCAUGAAAUCUUCUCUCUAGUUGUGAAACAUGCCUCCAUCAGAGUCAUCUUAGCUUUAGUUGCCAUUCAAGACAUGUACCUGGAGCAUAUGGAUGUUAAAACAGCCUUCCUGCAUGGUGAAUUACAAGAAGAAAUUGUAAUGGAACAGCCUGGGGGGUAUGUGGUGUCUAGUAAGGAAAAUCAUGUGUGCUUACUAAAGAAAUAUUUAUAUGGAUUAAAGCAGUCUCCUAGGCAAUGGUACUUGAAGUUUGAUAGUUUUAUGACAAAACAUGCCUACAAGAAAUGCAAUUAUGAUUGUUGCGUGUACUUUAGGGACAUUGGUGAUGGAAAGAUGAUUUAUCUUAUGCUGUAUAUGGAUGACAUGCUUAUAGCAUGUCACAGCAUAGAUGAAAUCAGUCAUUUAAAGAAUCUCUUGAGCAGUGAAUUCGAUAUGAAAGAUCUUGGAGCUGUAAGGAAGAUCUUAGGUAUGGAAAUUAUCAGAGACAGGAGAAGGAAGCUUAUGUUUUUAACCCAACAGAGCUAUGUUAAGAAGGUGUUGCUUAGAUUUGGGAUGCAUGAAUCCAAGUCUGUUCAAACACCUUUGGCAAAUCACUUCAAGCUGUCUGCUGCACAUUGUCCACAAACUGAUGCAGAGCAAGGAAAAAUGGCAAGGAUACCUUACUCCAGUGCAGUUGGGAGCCUCAUGUAUGCCAUGGUUCUCACUAGACAUGAUAUCUCACAUGCUGUGAGUAUAGUGAGUAGAUUCAUGGCAAAUCCAGGUUAUGAGCAUUGGAGGGCAGUCCAGUGGAUAAUGAGGUACCUGAAAGGCACUAUGGAGUUUGGUCUGCUAUAUGGAGGGUUAAAACAGGAAGGGCACAAGCUGGUGGGGUAUGUUGACUCAGACUUCGCUGGAGAUCUUGAUAAAAGGAGGUCUCAGACAUGUUUUAUAUUCACUUUGGGAGGCUGCACUGUGAACUGGAAAGCUACUCUGCAAAGUGUGGUAGCUUUGUCCACAACUGAAGCCGAAUAUACAGCAGCUGCAGAAGCUUUUAAGGAAGUCAUCUGGUUAAAAGGAAUGGUCUCAGAGUUAGGAGCAAAACAAGAAACAGUUGAAGUAUACUGUGAUAGCCAGAGUGCAAUACAUUUGAGUAAAAACCAGACCCAUCAUGAAGGAACAAAACAUAUUGAUGUAAAGCUUCAUUUUGUAAGACUUGAAGUUUCAAAGGGAACUGUGAAGAUGCUCGAGGUUCACACUGAUCAAAAUCCAACCGAUAUGUUGACUAAAGCUGUGCCUUCUGCCAAGCUCAACUUCUGUUUGAGCUUAGCAGGAAUUUGCAGUUUCUGAUCAGCUGCAAAAGAAAGGGAAUAAAGUAUACAGGAGUAGCUAGAGUUCAGAGUUCACACUGAUUAAAAGGUGCAGGCUUUGUCAUCGUCUACACAUGAUUUGGGAAACACAGAGAGUAGAGAAAAAGAUAGAGAGAGAAAGGGGUUAACAAGUUCUUGUUCUCUGUAAAUCGAUUUCUAUUCUUGUAAAGUUUGUGAUCUCAAUUAGUGAAAGAUUGUUGCUUUGUUUCCAGUGGAUGUAGGCACCACUUCUUGGUGCUGAACCACUUAUGCUUGGUGUCAUAUUGUUUCUUUAAUGCUUUGAUUCUUGCGUGUGAUUGUUGCUGGAUAAUCUGUGCUGUUAAUUCUCAAACCAUUGAUACAGAAUUAAUGUCUUGGGGAGAAUUUGGUUAGUCUUAUCAAAGCCGAAUUCACAACAAAAACUGUAAUGGUAUAUCUUGAAUUAUUGGUAGAAUAGUUCUUUGGAGCAAUAAAAACAGAUAAGACAGAUGAGAAAAUUGUCAAUACCCCACCGCAAAAGCAAAAGAAAACAAGGAAAGGAGACAAAAGAGGAAGAAGAAAAAGAAAAAAGAACGAAGAAAAAAAUGGUGCCGUGCGGUAUAGGCAAGAAGAAAAAAUAAUAAAAAAUAAUAAAAUAAUAGUGCACAACAAUCAUUUGAUUGCUAUAAAUAAAAGGCGUUUCCCUCAUUUUAUUCAUCGAAUUCUUCAGUUCCUUUCAAGCGAUUUAAGAGUCUAGUGAUUUGAGAGUUUGGGUGUAGUAUGAUUUUGGGUAGUGAGCUAAAAUACUACAAUACUUGUAACUCAUUUUUAUUAGUAAAAUAUUUUCCUUCUGACUUCGCCCGUGGACGUAUGCUAAAAGCCGAAUCACGUAAUUUCUGGUGUCCCUAUGUGAUUAUGUGUCUCAUUAUUUCUUAAUUUCACUUUAGUUGCGUGUCUGCGACACCCCUCAAUUUAUUAACAAAAAAUGGCCAAAAUUAUAUAAGUGACCCAAAUUUUUUUGUUAUUUCCAAGAAAUCCCCAAUCUGAAUGGGCUAGACCAGAGGGAGGCAAGUUAGAAAUACAUUUCCUUCAUAGACAAUAACAGUGAUGAGUCGAUGACAUCAAGCCACGUCGGUAUCAAUAUUGAAUUAAAGGUGCAAUUAUUCAGCCAAUGAACCUUACACAUCAAGAUAAAAGUCAAGAAAAUGAAAAUUUAUCCCAAUUAAAACACUUUCUGGCUGCAUUUAGUUGUUUCCAUUAGAAGUUAAAAACAACGUUUCUUUCGUUUUGUGGGCAACUCAACUGAGUUAGCUGGCUUCUAGUGCUAGUAUGUGAAAAUAGAAGGCUAAUGAUUUAUUUAUUAUCUUUUGACAAAAUUAUUAAAGAUAUAAUAGAUUUUCUAUGAUACAAGUGAAAAAUCACAUCAACAUAGCUUUCAAUCUACAGCAGCUAGCGUUUACCAAACACUUUGUUGUAGCUUUUAAGCUAUAGCUGCCCAACCUCAAUCUCAAACGCACCCUUAAUAGGUUGAUUGAAUUUGUGAGAUAUGGAUUCCACAUAUCUCAUGACCUAGUAAUUAUACAAGUGGUUCGUGAUCAAGACACAACAUUUGCUUCCGGCCUAGUGACCCAGCAAUCGCUGCACUGGUCGCCACCUAUGGUGCCGACGAUAUUGCAUGGUCCAAUUGUGGCCUUGAAUGGAAAAAGUUGAGCAAAUUAUUUGUGGACACGAUGAUAAGUAACGCAAGCCUUGAUGCUAGUUAUGGUCAAAGAAAACAAGAGGUUAAGAAUACUAUCAGAGAUAUUCAUAACAACAAAAAGGAAAAAAAAAAGGCAUUUGCAAGCCCAUUGAUAUUGGUGAAUUGUCGAUUUCAACUUUGGCAUGUGUAAUCCAGAACCUGCGCGCUGUGGUAUGGCGCUGGCACGCUUGCAUUAACGAGGGGACAAGUCUUGGGGCUGAGCUAACAUUUAAGCUCGCAGAACUCAUGGUGCUAAUGGGAACACCAAAUAUUUUUUUGACAUAUUUUGGUGCUUUCAUGGUUUAAUUCAAGGUAUAGAAAGGAGUGUUGAGAAUGUCAAAUAAAACGGCAUUGAAUGGAAGUUGUCAAAGACACGAUCCGCACCGAACGGCAACGACACGGUUGCUAAAAAUCCUUCCAUAAUAUGCAUAUCUAAUUUUUUAAAAAGUGUAACCUCUGCAUUUAUAAAUAUACUCAAUGUAUAAUGUUUUACUUAAGAAAUGAAAAACUUGUUUGUUCAAGGAGAAUAAAGAAAAUUUUUCUAUGAUUUUUUUAUGGUUUGAACAAAGAAGGUUUUAAUGAGUAUUAUAGACCUCGAUUGAAUGUUCGAAUGUAUAAUAAAAGAGAAACUGUCACAUAAAUGACAAAGAUACUUGGAAAAAAAAAAAGGGCAGCAAUAGAGAAUUAGAUUCGACUGCACAAAUAACUAGUUAAUUCAUCAAUACAUCAUUUUCUUGCUAGAAAAUGACAAUUAUGACAGCAAGCCACGAUAGUGUCAAUAUUGAAAUUGAUUUGCAAUUAUUCAGCCAAUGUGCCUUACACGUCAAGAUAAAAGUCAAGAAAAUGAAAGUUAAUAUCAAUUAAAACACUUCCUGGGCCGCAUUUAGCUCCAGUUUUUGUGGUAGGAAAACAAAGUUUUGUUUUAAAUUCACAUGGUGUGCACUUCCUAUAUAAAUCUAGAGUUGUGUCCCACGUUGAACAAUAAAGGAAAGUCACCUAAAUAUACAUGUAGGAUAAGUUACUUUAUUUAGUAAGUUUGUAUUUUCUUCUUUCUUCUAGUUUACAUAUAAAUUUGAUUAGAUAACUUAACACAUAUUUUAAUACUUGAUCAGAAGCCCUACGUACAGGUGGAUCUAGAAACUUGAUUUCUAAGAGUAAUACUAUAAUAAAAAAAUAAUGAUUCAUAGAACCAAUAUCAAAAUUUGUUUACAAGAUUACCCCCACUCAAAGGUAAUUUUCAUAGAAAUUAAUAGGAAAUUUAAUUGUUAGUGGGGUCAAAUUGCCCCCACACUCUGAAUGUAGAUCCACGCCCGACCCUGAGUCAAGUAUAUUUUGCCACAUAUACUCUGAAUGUCGGCAGGAAAAAUCUUCCACUUUAGUUUAAAAUUUUCACUUAAAAUUUAUUUACGUUAAUAAAGUUGGUAAAGGAAAUGAGUUUAAUUAAAGAAUAUUAUAGGAGAAAUUCUAUUGUUUGGCUUUUAAUAAAUUAAUUAAUAGGUUUAAAAAGAUUAAUAUACAUCAAAAUAUUAUUAGUUGGUGGUGGUUCCACAUCGGACUAAGACGUGGCACCUUACUUGUGAGAUUAAGACAAUCAGGCUUAGACUAUUUAAAUAUGUUUGAAGCUUAGAUGGCACCGCUUCAAUUUGCAUUAAUGAAUGUCAUUCUUUACCCUAAUUACUACGUAAUUGAUAACAUGCAAUUGAAAUAACUAAUAUUAGCACUUGGCUAUAAAUGAACUAAAGGCCGUGCAAUUGAAUCUUUACUUGAUCACUUCAUUCCUUUAUUUUGCUAACACAGAUUUUGAGAUAUUAAAACGAAAUAAUAAUUGAAUCUGGCUUUGUGGGUCGAUGAUGCCAGCAACAACGAGACCACAAUUAUCACUUGUUUAUUUGCUGUAUUUGACGUUGUUUCAUAUUGGUAGUAAUAACUAAUAAGGUCGUUGUAGAGUUUUUAAUCUUUUUUUUUAUAUUAAUCACGAGGUAUCCUGGGGAGGGCCCCAACUGUGGGAGGCACCUUUAAGCUCGUACCACAACCCAGACUAGAAGUCCCCGCUCGAACCGGGAGGCACAGUUUUUAAUCUUUUUUAUAUUAAAGUUAAGUCAAUUUGUUAUAAAUAAAUAAAAAAUUGGUUGAGUUUAAUUAUAUUGCUAUGUACAUUAAAUAAUUAUAAUAUUCUCGAGGGAAAAAGACACCUAGAACCUCAAGGUUUGGGGAAAUGGUCACAAAAACUCCUAAGUUUUAAAAAAGGAACACUAAAAUCUUUUUUUACCCAUAAUACCCUUUGACUAUAGUAAUUAGAAAAUUGACUUUAAAGGUUUUUAAAUAAUACAAAUUUAAUAUAAAUCAUAUAAUCUAUCUAGUACACUAAUAAUAUUAAAUUAUUUUUUAUAUUUAAAAUAAUGUUAAAAAAUUUAAAUUAUUAUAUUUAUUUUAAUAAUAUAUUUAUAAAAUUAUAAAGAUUUUAAAUAAAUCUUUGGAUUGAAUAUAUUUUACAAUUAAAAGUCUUCCUAUUAAUAAUAUUAAAAUUAAAUUUUAAGUAAUAUAUAUUCAAAAUAUUUUUAAUUUAAUUUUAUUUAUUUUAAUAUUAUGUUUCUAUCUAUUAUUAAAAAUUACUUUAAUAUAAUAAAAUAGGUCUAAUAGAUUGAAAAAUAUGAAAAUAUUUUUAAAAUUUUAAAUUAUUUUGAAAUGUAUAUAUUAUUACAUUUAUUUCAAUGUCAUAUUUCCAUUUAUUAUAAAAUUUUGGGGUUAUUUUUUUGGGAAUUUAUAGAGUCAAAGAGCAUUAUGGUUAAAAAAGAGUCUUGGUGUCCCUUAUUGAAAACUUUAGAGUUUUUGUGACCAUUUUCCUAAAUCUUGGGGGUGUUGAAGUGGCACUUAUUGUAAGAUUGAUUUUAAAAUAUGUAAAAUUAAUUUUAUUACAUUACCAUAUGCUACAUCACCUGAAACUUAAUAAAUGGAACGUAGCAUUACUCCACGUUCACCGUUAUGACCUUAUGACAUUAGAAUUAAAAUCUUUCGUACGUUUAAAUUGUUUACUUCCAAAUUAAUCUUUCGUAAAUAUUUUGUACAGAUCUUAUCGGAGUUAGCGUGUUCAUUACAGUGUUUCUUUUCUUUUAUCCUUUCUUUUGAAACGUAUUUCCUGUGGACAAGGAAAGCAAAUAAUACCCUGCCACCAGGACCUCGCGGCUUGCCUGUAAUCGGAUACCUUCCAUUUCUCGGAAUUACUGACUUACACAAGACAUUCACGGAAUUAGCUGGUCUAUAUGGCCCGAUCUUCAAACUCUGGCUUGGCAACAAAUUGUGUGUAGUGGUUAGCUCGCCUUCAACUAGUUCUAUAAGAAUAUCCCUUUUAAGGGAUUCUCUCUCUGCAAAAUUUUUUUAUCUUCUGGUGCAUAAUAAAAACUUAUGCCACUUCAUUAACCACAGAUAUCUUUUGAGGAAACGAUGUUUCGUUUUCUUUUGUUUUUUCCUUCCUAAUCCUCGCAUAUCGUGUGAAGGCUAAUAUAUCCAAGAAUCUAAAUCUCUGUAAAUCUUUUUCUAUCCAAAUCUACAUAAUAAUUUAAUCCAUGCACAAUAUCUAUAAUUAUAUCGGCUGUCGGCUGAUUUCGUGGAGGGGGCGGCAGUUCAAAUUUUUUACGUGCAUGUUGGAUGGACGUCUCUAUUAAAGGAGAGCCACCACUUGCAUGGUAAUUUUUUUAAAUAAAUAUAUACAUUUCAAAAUAUUAUUUCAUUGUUGUAUAGUUAACAUGUCACCUUAGAUGUAUUUUAGAACUUCUCCUAUUAAAGAUAAUCUCAUGCAGUGAUACUUCUCGUGAUCUAAUCAUUAGUAGAAUCUAUAAUUUCGCUACUGUAAUAAAAUCUGUCCCUACCCUAUAUGAAUGUAGAUAUUUGACGCGAUUUGUAAUUGCUUCCGACAGGAAAACAGCAAUAGUUUAAUUGAAAUUUGUGGUAUGGAUUCCACGAAUCUUAUGACAGAAUACUGACCACUCCAACCCUAUCCACAUUUACACGAUUAAAACACAAGCUUAGAUGUGACAAUGCAUUUGUCACUUUUGUUCAAAUUCAUCCUGAAACACUAUACACUAAAUAAUCGAAUAUGGCUUCGUGGGUCGAUGAUGCUAGCAGCAACGAGACUGCAAUUAUCACUUGUUUUGUUGCUGUACUUGUCGUGGUCUAUUUCGCAUGGAAUGUAAACAAAUCAAGUAAAGCAAAUGCUAAAUUGCCACCAGGAUCUCGGGGCUUGCCAGUAGUCGGAUACCUCCCAUUUCUUGGAACUACUGACUUACACAAGACAUUCACGGAGUUAGCUGGAGUUUAUGGUCCGAUCUUCAAGAUUUGGCUUGGGAAUAAAUUGUGUGUAGUGGUGAGCUCGCCUACCCUAGUUAAACAAGUGGUCCGUGAUCAAGAUAUAACAUUCUCAAACCGCGACCCACCGAUCGCUGGAACUGUGACCACCUACGGUGGCAAUGAUAUUGCACUUUCCAAUUAUGGUCCCGAAUGGAAAAAGUUGCGAAAAUUAUUUGUGAGCAAGAUGAUGAGUAAUGCAACCCUUGAUGCUUGUUAUGCUCUAAGAAAACAAGAGGUUAAAAAUACUAUCAGGGAUUUGUACAACAACAAUAAGGAUAAUAUUGGCAGUGGCAAUGGCAAGCCCAUUGACGUUGGUGAAUUGUCGAUUUCAACUUUGGUACGUGUUAUGCAGAACAUGCUGUGGGGUCAAGCAUUGGAAACAAGAGAGAAAGAGAUUACUAAUCUCGGGGCUAAUCUUGCAGAACUCAUGGUGCUACUGGGAACACCAAAUAUUUCGGAUAUUUUUCCAGUGCUUUCAUUGCUUGACAUGCAAGGUAUAGAGAGAAGAGCUAAGAAGAUUUCUCUAUGGUUUGAAAACAUUAUCAAUUCUGGUGUUGAACAGUAUAGAAACAAGUUUUCUGUUGUUAAAGGUGAAGAAGCUGCAGCAGGAAAAAAUAUUGAACGAUCAAGAAAUAAGGACUUCUUGCAGUUACUGUUGGAGCUUCAGGAAAAUGAAGAUAGUGCUUCAUCUAUUAGCAUGAACCAACUAAAGGCCGUGCUCGUGGUAUGUUAAGCAACUAGACACAAAAAGUUGUAAAAGCACAGUGAUAUAUUUGCGCGAGGCCGCGAGUGAUGUUUUGCCUCGAGAACUCUCAAUUUUAUCUUACGGUAAAAAAUGUUUUUCAACUUUUUUUAAUUAGAAUUUUAUUGCAAUUUAUUUAACAGGACAUAAUUGUGGCCGGAACCGACACCACAACUACGAUGGUGGAAUGGACAAUGGCAGAGUUGAUGCAACAUCCACAAGUAAUGAAGAAAGUUCAAGAAGAAUUAGCUCAAGUUGUGGGCAUGGACAGUUGUGUUGAAGAAUAUCACUUGCCUAAAUUAAAUUAUUUAGAUGCUGUGGUGAAAGAAACAUUUCGUUUGCAUCCUGCGUUGCCCUUAUUGGUACCUCGCACGGCAAGCGAGAACAGCAAUAUUGGUGGCUAUACCAUUCCCAACGACACUAAUUUUAUGUUGAAUGUUUGGGCUAUUCACAGGGAUCCUCAACUUUGGGAUAAUCCCUUAGAUUUUCGACCUGAGAGGUUCUUGAAUGAUGAUAUCAUAAGCAAAUUCAAUUACUCGGGUAACAAUUUUCAGUACUUGCCAUUUGGUUCUGGUAGAAGGAUGUGCGCUGGCAUUCCUCUAGCUGAGAGGAUGUUGAUGCUUGUUCUGGCUUCGUUGUUGCACUUGUUUGAGUGGAAAUUGCCCCCGGGCACAAAGCUAGACUUAGCUGAAAAGUAUGGGAUUGUCAUGCGGAAAAAAGAGCCUCUGAUUGCUAUUCCAACACCAAGGCUACCAAAUUCAGAUCUCUACCAGUAAGAUCAAAAUGGUUGUGAUGAUAUUAUUUCCCAUUGUAUUGGAAUAUUUUUGUGUGAUUUGAAGUUCAAUCAUAAUAAAAUAUUUUAAUAAAAUGUCCUCGGUUGCUAAUUUUUCAAUAGUAUACUCUAUCAUCGUUUCUAACUGUCUUUUAGAGCCAUUUGGUCUAAUUUAUUUUUGAAUUAAAAUCCAUAAAUAUUUAAAUUUUUGAAUCAUAUUAAGAAUUAUCUGGAGUGUAUGGUCUGAUCUUCAAGUUCUGGCUUGUAAACAAAUUAGAGUUCUGAUAUUUGCCCCGGGUCAAACCCCGAAAUUAAAUAAAACGGCGUCGUUUUGUUUUUUUUUUUUUUUUUUUCUUUUUUACUUCUUCCAAACGUUGCCAUUUCACUUGUCAUUUGCAAGUGACUCCAUUGAUCCUUAGUUGAAACAGAGUUACACCGUAAAUCUCUUCCUCUUCGUUUCUUCGUUUCACCAGGGAACGAGACAGAUAAAAUCCAGCCAUUCUUCGACAUAACAAGAUAUCGAUUAGAAUCCAACGACAUAACUAUAAACCAUGACAUUGCGCUUGAUUUUGCGAAAUACCGAUUAAGAACCAGUAACUUUGAAUCCAAUGACCGUUAAGAGUUUGAAAUUGGUUUCAAAUGACUAAUGAGUUAUCAGAUUUCUUUGCGUCUACAUUUUCCUUGAAGGUUUCUCAGCAGCCAAACAAAUACAAAGCAAAUUGCAGAAGAAACACAUUUUGUUCCAAUGAAAAAUGUACGGAAACAUUUUAAAUAUGGAAAAUUACCUCAAAAUGAAGGCUCGCAAGAGAUUCGAGCAACAAAUUAGAUCAAAGGAACCGGCGCUGAGCAAGAAAGUGAGCUCAAAGAUUCCGAAACACAAACGUAAAUUCACAAAAAUGCAAAUCUAUGAUGAACGCCAAGAUCAAAAUUUUCGAAGAAAGGGAGCUGAAAAAAUAAAUGAAACGUCAAACUAGAUGACAAUGGAUUUGCUUCUUCAAAGGAGACAAUGAAAUUGUUACUAGAGACAGCUAGAGAAAUAGAGAGAGAGAGAGAGAGAGCUUGAAUUGGCUGUACCCCCACCAGAAAGUGGGUAGUGCCUUUUCCACUUGGACUUGAUAUGCGAAUCUGAAAAAAUCUGAACGAAGGACUGACUCAUCCCAGCUCGAAAGCAAACCAAGCUAGGACUGACUGAAAACGUUGCCGUUUGGAGAAGUUAAAAAAAAAAACUAAACAAAACGACGCCGUUUUGUUUAGUUUCGGGGUUUGACCCGGAAUUUGACCCGGGGCAAACAUCAUUUUCCAACAAAUUAUGCAUGGUCGUGUACACGCUUUCCCUAAUUAAGCAUGAGGUUCGUGAUCAAGGCACAACAUUCACUCCCUGCGACCCAACAAUCGCUACAUUGUUUGCCACCUAUAGUGCCAACGAUUUUGCACGGUCCAAUUAUGGUCCCCAAUCGAAAACGUUGCGCAAAUGUUUUCUGGGCAAGAUGAUAAGUAACGCAAGCCUUGAUGCUUGUUAUGGUCUAAGAAAACAAGAGGUUAAUAUAUAUAUAUAUAUAUAUAUAUAUAUAUAUAUAUAUAUAUAUAAAUUGGCAUUGUCAACUUUUGUAUGUUUUAUUCAGAACCCGCUGUGGGUUGACGCUAGCAUGCUUGCGUUAGGAGACGAGGGGACCAAUCUUGGGGCUGAGCUAAAAUAUAAGCUUGUAGAGAUCAUCUUGCUAAUGGUAAUGUUUUCCGAUGCUGGUUUAAUUCAUGGUAUAAAAAGGAGAACAAAAAAGAUUUUUCUAUGCUUUGAAAAUAUUAUAAUUUUUAUUUUAUAAUUUUUAAUAAAAUCUCUCAUUGAUAGCCAAACAAUUAAAAUUUUUGUAAAGCUUUUGUGGACUUUUGAUCGCGUAUGGUGCCAAUGUAUUGCGUGGUCCUAUUAUGGUUCCAAAUGGAGAAAGUUGCACAAGUUUUUUGAGUACCAGAAGAUCAGUAAUGUAAGCCUUGAUGGUUGUUAUGGUCUAAGAAAACAAGAGGCUAAAAAUUCUAUCUGGGAUUUUUAUAACAACAACAAAAUUGGCAAGCCCAUUGACAUUGGUGAAUUGUCAGUUUCAACCUUGGUAAGUGCGAUUCAGAACAUGCUGUGGGGUGAAACGCUUGAAAUAACAAAGAAAUGGAUUUACUAAUAUUGGGGCUGGGCUAAGAUUUAAGCUUGCAGAACUCACGGUGCUAGAGGGAACACCGAAUAUUUUGGAUAUCUUUCCAGUGCUUUCAUGGUUUAAUAUACAAGGUUUUCAGAGAAUAGCAAAGAAGAUUUCUCUAUGGUUUUAAAAUAUUAUCAAUUCUACUGCUGAACGCUAUAGAAACAACGUCUCUAUUGUCAAAAGUGAAGAAGCAGCAGCAGCAGGGAACAAUAUUGAAGGAAGGAAUAAGGACUUGGUGCAGUUACGCUUGGAGCUUCAAGGUAAAGAAGACAAUGCUUCAUCAAUUAGCAGGACGCAAUUUAAGAGCUUGCUCGUGGUAUGUUGCGCAACUAGCCACAGACAGUUACAGAAACUGAGUUUGGCAGAUUACGACCGUUUCUGGUGAUUACAUAAUUAUUUGUGGCUGUUUUUUUUUUUUAAUUGUAAUUUUCUUAACAGGAUAUAAUUUAGGGUGGAACCAACACCACAACUAUAAUGGUGGAAUGGACAAUGGCAUAAUUGAUACAGCAUCCACAAGUAAUAGAGAAUGUACAGGUAGAACUAAAUCGGGCCGUGGCCAUCGACAGCCAUGUUGAAGAAUUUCACCUAGCUAAGUUAAAAUAUUUAGAUGCUGUGGUGAAAGAAACAUUCUGCACUGUAAUAUAAUACAUGAAUCAUAUGUCCUCUAUUGUUUUUUUAUUUUUCUCUUUUUUUCAAUAGCUUAAUCUAUCAUUAAAAUCUUCUGAAAUUCUAAAUUAAUAUACAUUCAACCUAGAGUUCAAGCCAAAGUUUUAUUGAGCAUUAAAAAAAAAAAAAAUUCUACGACUCAAAAUUUUGUGGAGUAUAAAUUAAAAAUUAUGCGCCUACUAAGAGACAAAAAAUAAAUGAUACACAUUAACCAAUCAAAGGCGAACAAGAGAUUAUUAACAAUAACCUAAUAAUAAAAUUAUAAUGAAUAAAAAAGAAAUGGUACCUAGAAACACAUCACAGCCAUUUAAGCAAUCACUUACCCACAAAAUCCAAACAUAUAAACUAUGUGGGGGGGGGGGGGGGGGGGGGGGGUGUCAUGAUACCUUUGGGUUUCAUGAUAAUCAAAAUUGCAAUACCAUUAAAGACUCAAAAAUAAAAAAAAUCAUAGCCAAUAAAAGAGAAAAAAUAACCCACAAAAAAUCAUCAAGAAAAUAAAUUUGAGACUAAGAGAAGAUAUUAAUUAAACCCUGGGUUGCCUUGGAACCACGGCUUUGGCUUCCAUUUUUCAAUUCUUGGCGACAAGUCAUUUCUUGUUUGUUUACAAAGAUGACGGCUGAUUAAUGAAGCUCUAUUAACAAUGAAUAAAUAAAAAAACUGGCGCCUUGAAAAGACUAACGGUCAUAUUUUUCAACUCCGAAUUAGUGCCGUUUGAUGAGUCCUUGCCAAAACAAUCACUAGGCAAAUAACAAUCAUUUUUCAACCAGCAAAACUCAUUCAUUGUAUUUCACCUUAGUCAAGAUUUAAAAAUUGUUUCAAAAUAAACCUAGUGGUUAGAACCCAAGCGUCACAAUUGUGAGGUCAUGGGUUUGAGCCCCCACAACGUAUUGUGGGGGUUAAUUUUCUUCUUCAAUUUGAGUGAAAACAGUUCUCUCCCUUUCGAAAUGUGGGUGGAGUGGACGUCCCUCAAAUAUUAGAGAGGGUUCAAAUUUGGAUUGUACUAUAUAAGAUUUAUAAAUUAGUCCCAGUAAUUAUCUGAUUGUAAAUAUCAAUAUACUAAUCUAAUUAAAUAUGAGUUGUAAUAUGAGCGUUAGUCUCAUGUAAUUAAAAAAAAAAUGUUUCAAAAUAGGAUUCUUAAAAGGUUGGGGAAAUGGCCAUCAAUAUCCCCAACUUUCCAAAAAGAGACACCAAGACCCAUUUUGACCAUAAUACCCUUUACUUCUAUUAUCCCCAAAAAAUUGACUCUAAUGUUUUAUAAUAAAUAAAAAUAUAACAUUAAAAUAAAUGUAAUAGUAUAUACAUUUUAAAAUAGUUUCAAUAUCUAAAAACCAUUUUAAUAUUUUAAAUCCUAUUAUAUAUAUAUUAAAGUAAAUUUUAUAAUAAAUAGAAUCAUAAUAUUGAAAUAAAUGCAUUAAAAUUUAAAUUAUUUUUAAUAUUAUGUAAAAUAAUAAUUUUAUCAUUAUAAGUAUAUGAGAAUUUUUUUAAUUGUAGAAUGUAUUUAAUGCAAAUAUUUAUUUAAAAUCUCUACAAUAAAUAAAAAUAUACUAUUAAAACAAAUCUCUACAAUAUAUACAUACAUACAUAUACAUUGGCCUGGUAUUUUAUUUUUCAUUUUUUAAACUUAUUAAAUCCUCUAACUAUCAUUUGAUUAUUUUUUUCAAUGAUGAAGAGGCCAUUGCCGGAUAAAUUAUUAAAAUCAACUAGUUCUACAAGAAUGUCCCUUUUUAAAGGAAGAUGAUUCUCUCUCUCGAAAUUUUUUAUCUUGUGCUACAAACUAAAAACUUAUGCCAUUUCAUUAACCACAGAGAUCUUUGAGGAAAUGAUGCUUCGCCCCCCCCCCCCCCCCCCCCCCCCCCCCCCCCCCCCCGCGGCGCCAAAAAGUGUCCUUCCAUAUUUUGUGAAGGCUAAUACAUCGAUGAAUCUAGAUUUCUUUAAAUUUUUUGUUUUACUCAAUUCGAGAUAAUAAAUAGUUUAUCUUUAUUAAAUCUUUACUUUAACAAUGAUAGAUAUUCAAUCCAUGCAAAUAUCUAUCAUUGUAUGAGCUGAUUGCGUGGAGGGAGCGGUAAUUGAAAUCUAAUUGAAAACAGCAGAAGGCUGUUCUUGACAGAUCUCAAAUAUAUUACGGACACGUUGGGAGACAUCUCUAUCAUAGAUAUCCCCAUGCAGUGAUAUUUGUCGUGAUCUAAUUUUUAGUAAAUCUGUAAGAGAGAUUGUAACAUCUUUCAAGUUUUUUGGUUUGAUAUUCUAGACGAAAACGGUUUGUCGUUUCUUGAGCAAACGGCUAACCGUUUAAGUCCAGAGAGCAUGUUUGUUGUUCUGGAUAAAACGGCUCACCGUUGUUGCGAAAACGGCUAACCGUUUAACUCAAGAGAGCAUGUUUUAUGUUCUAGAGAAAACGGCUCACCGUUAUUGAGAAAACGGCUAACCGUUUAUUUACAGAGAGCAACGUAUUUGAUAUUCUGGAAUAAAAUGGCUCACCAUUUAUUGAGAAAACGGCUAACUGUUUAUUUCCAGAAAGGCGUCAAUUAGAAAAACGGUUAGCAAGAAUGAAAAUUUCAAUUGACAAUCGAUGCAAAUUCAAACCAAAAGAGUGUCUUCGAAAAAGUACCAUUUCUAAUGGUUGUAUUCUUUCAAAUAAACAUCUUCUUCAUUAAAGAAAUACACACAAUUAGAUUGAUAAUCAGAUUUUGACAGGUUUCUUAUAUGUUCUGGAAAUACAAUCUUAUUUGCUAGAGAUUGUAUUCAGGAUUUGUUAUAUCUUGGGGGUAAUUUGCCAUUAAAACUAUAUAGCAAACCAAGAUUGGUGAGGGCAAAUAAAACCUUAAAGGAAAGUAUGCAAACACGUCUCAAAUCCUAUGAAACUUUCUUUGUUCUUUGCCUCCAUAUUCUUAUUAUUCACUAACAAAAUCCCCAUGCAGUGAUAUUUGUCGUGAUCUAAUUAUUAGAAAAAUCUAUGAUUUCGCUACUGUAAUAAAAUUUGUCACUACUCUACAUUAAUCUAAAUGUCUGAUGAGAUUUGUAAUUGCUUCCGACGGGAAAACAGUUAAUAGGUUGAUUGAAUGUAUGUGGUAAAGAUUCCACGUAUCUCACGACAGAAUGCUGACCACUGGAACCCUAUCUACUUUUACGCGAUUAAUUCACGAGCUUAGGCACGACAAUUGCAAUACAAAUUAUCCCUUCAUCAUAUAUUUCGUUAAAAUUCAUUCUGAAGCACUAAAACUAAACAAUCGAAUAUGGCUUUGAGGGUCGAUGAUGCCAGCAGCAAUGAGAGUGCAAUUAUCACUUGUUUAGUUUCUGUGCUUGCCGUGGCUUAUUUAGCAUGGAAUGUGAAAAAAUCAAGGAAAGCAAAUGCUAAACUGCCACCAGGACCUCGCGGCUUGCCUGUAGUCGGAUACCUCCCAUUUCUCGGGACUACUGACUUGCACAAGAAAUUCACGGAAUUUAUUUUACUAUUAUAUUUAUAUUCAAAAUAAUUUUAAUUAGCUUUUAAAAUGAAUGAUUUUAGGAAAUUAUAAAUAAAGGUAACUAAGAAUUCUCUUAAUGUAAUAUAUUAUUAAUUAGUUUAAAAAUACAAAUUUAUUAAUUAGAGAAAUUAUUAGUGAAUUUAAAUUAAUGAUCUUAAUGAUUUGUUUGUACGAUUGCCCCCAAUCAAAGGUAAUUUUCCUAAAAAUUAUUAGGAAAUUAGAGAAAUUUAAUUUUUUUAGUGGGUUCAAUUGCCCACACACCCCGACUGAAGCAUUUUUUACAAUAUGUACUCCGUUUGUCGGCAGGAAAAUAAAGGUCUUGACACAUGAUCACUUCACUCCUUUAUUUACUUUGCUAACGCAGAUUUUGAGGUAUUAAAACAAAUAAUAAUUGAAUAUGACUUUGUGGGUCGACGACGCCAGCAACGAGGAGACCGCCAAUUAUCACAUUUUAAGUUUGCUGUAAUUGCCGUUGUUUUAUAUUAGUAGAAUAUUAGUGAUAAGAUAAUUGUAGAGUUUUCAUUUUUUUAAUAUUAAAAUCAAGUCAAUUUAUUAUAAUAAAUUUAGUUGAAUUUAAUCGUAUUACCACAUAAAUUGAAUAAUAAUAGAAUUCUCGACAAUAUUUCAAUAUUUUAAUCUCAAGCAUUGGAGUGGCAUUUAUUUGUUAUACGGUCGAUUUUAGAAUUUAUAAAAUUAUUCGUUGCUGAAUUGCACCAUAUGCUGCAUAACCUGAAACUUAAUAAACGGAACGUAGCGUUGGCACCGUUACUCAACAUUCACUGUUACGACUUUGUGACAUUAGAAUUAAAAUCUUUUCCACAUUUAAUUUGUUUACUUCCAACUUAAUAUUUAACAAAAUGUAUGUUAGCAUUGUAUGCCAUAUCAUCUGUAAUUUUGUCAGGAUCGAUCAUUCUAAUUUUUAAGCAGAACUUUUUGUCAAUGGACAAACACCUCAUACAGCUUGUCAGAGGCAUUAGUAUGAUGUAAAAUUGUAAUGGUAUAUCUUGAAUUAUUUUAGAAUAGUGAAUAACUAUUUGGAGCAAUAAAAACAAAUAAGACAGAUGAGAAAAUGGCUAAAAUUAUAUAAGUGACCCAAAAUUUUUUGCUAUUUCCAAGAAAUCCCCAAUCUGAAUGGACCAGAGGGAGGCAAGUUAGAAAUACAUUUCCUUCAUAGACAAUAACAACGAUGAGUGGAUGACAUCAAACCACGUUGGUAUCAAUAUUGAAAUAAAGGUGCAAUUAUUCAGCCAAUGAGCCUUAGUACACAUCAAGAUAUAUAAAAGUCAAGAAAAUGAAAAUUUAUCCCAAUUAAAACUCUUUCUGGCUGCAUUUAGCUGUUUCUGUUUAGGGAUGGCAAUUUAAUCCGGACCCAGCCCGACCCGGAUGAAUCCAGAAAAUUCGGGGUGGAUUCAACCCGUACCGGAGUGAAUAAAAUCUGAUAUUCAAAUUCAAUAUUUUCAACCCGGACGUUUCCGAGUCCGGAUCCGGAUUUGGGUAAACCCGCAUAUCCGGAACCCGGAUCCGGAUAACUAUUUUAAUAUUAAUUUUUAAAUCAUUUUAAAAUAAAAAAAAAUUAGAAAAAAUCAGCCCUAAUGCCCUUCCACAGCCACGGCAGCCAAACCAAACCCAGACAUUUCCUCUCUCUCUCUUUAGCCCUUCUUUUCAACAAAUCAUCAUCGUUGCUCAUCAUCGUUUCGUCGUGUUCAUCUUCAUCUUCAUCAUCAGCUGCCGUUUGUCCAGCUAUGUCACUAGUUUUGGCCGCCGUUUCCGUUUGUGCACCUUCGCAAAUCGGGAUCUCGAUUUGGCCGCCAACACUUCUACCCCCUGGUGUUUUGCUUUGUCCUCGACAACUUCUUUGUUGAUAAAUUGACGGGCACUUAUGAAUGCAUUUGUCUCUGUUUCUUCAUUUACACCUUCCCAGUUGUUUGUUCAUUUGCUUUUUGGAAGGAAAAAAAAAAAAAAUCAGCCACCAUUUAUCCUUCCCCUUUUCUUGACCUAACCCCACAAAGCCCAAUUUGUCAUCAUCAUUCAUUGGCAAAUUUGUUAUCAUCAUGGUUGAGACAUCAUGAUUAUCUUUGAUAAUUGAAUUUGUGUAAUAUGUUACCUUGGAUUUUAUUUCUAAGUAUUUGAUUUUGAAUUAUUUUCCAUUAUUGGUGUUAAUAGAUAGAAGAUUAGAAAGGAAUUCUUCACUGAAUAAAGAGAUGGGAAAUUGCAUCUUUUAGCAAUCAUCCGGGUUAUAAACCCGGAAUCCGGAAACCAGGAUUUUUCCGGGUUUAACCCAGUCCGGACCCGAAUGAAAAAUAUCCGGGUUUACAUCCGGGUCUGGUAUUAAAAUUUAUCGUCCGGAUCCGGAACAGGGAAGACAAAACCCGGACCCGAACCCACAUUUUGCCAUCCCUAUUUCCAUUUGAAGUUAACAACAACGUUUCUUUCGUUUUGUGGGCGACUUGACUGAGCCAGCUGGAUUCUAGUGCUAGUAUGUGAAAAUAGAAGGCUAAUGAUUUCACGUUCACUAGCCCACCUCCCCUCCUCUCGUUUCCUCUGAAUCAAUUUUCACGUGUGGUACCGAUUGAAAAUAUCUCUGACAUUUCGUGGACAUCUCUAUUGAAAAUAUCUCAGACAUUUCACUCAGGCAAACUUAUUAAUAUAAAAAAUCUAUGAUUUUUUCGUCUUAUACUGUAGAAAAAUUUGUCUAUACAUUAAUCUAGAUGUUUGAGGUGGUUUAUACAUCUGUGGUAUAGAUUUAUAGGUUGAUUGAUACGUCUGUGGUAUAGAUUUUAUGUAUUUCAUUAUCAAAUGCUGGCCUUUGGGACCCUAUCUACAUCUAUUUAUAAAACUAACGGGUGCCAGUUAUGCCAUUACAAAUUAUCCCCUCUUCAUACAUUUCCUUAAAAUUCUUCUGAAACACCAAAACUAAAUAAUCGAAUAUGGCUUUGCGGGUCGAUGAUGCCAGCAACAAUGAGGCUGCAAUUAUCACUUGUUUAGUUUCUAUGCUUGCCGUGGUUUAUUUCGUAUGGAAUGUGAACAAAUCAAGGAAAGCAAAUGCUAAACUGCCACCAGGACCUCGCGGUUUGCCUGUAGUCGGAUACCUCCCAUUUCUCGGAACUACUGACUUGCACAAGAAAUUCACGGAAUUAUCCGGAGUUUAUGGUCCGAUCUUCAAGCUCUGGCUCGGAAAUAAAUUAAGUGUCGUGGUGAGCUCACCUUCCCUAGUUAAACAAGUGGUUCGUGAUCAAGAUACAACAUUCGCAGACCGUGACCCGCCGAUCUCAGGACUAGUGACCUCCUUUGGUGGCAAUGAUAUUACAUGGUCCAAUUACGGUCCCGAAUGGAGAAAGUUGCGCAAAUUUUUUGUGGGCAAGAUGAUGAGUAACGCAAGCCUUGAUGCUUGUUAUGCUUUAAGAAAACAUGAGGUUAAAAAUACUAUCAGGGAUUUGUAUAACAACGGCAACAAAAUUGGUAAGCCCAUUGACAUUGGUGAAUUGUCGAUUUCAACAUUGGUAUGUGCUAUGCAGAACAUGCUGUGGGGUGAAGCGCUUGAAUUAAAAGAGAAAGGGACAACUAAUCUUGGGGUUGAGCUAAAAUUUAAGUUUGCAGAACUCAUGGUGCUACUGGGAACACCGAAUAUUUCGGAUAUCUUUCCAAUGCUUUCUUGGCUCGACAUACAAGGUAUAGAGAGGAGAGCAAAGAAGAUUUCACUCUGGUUUGAAAAAAUUAUAAAUUCUACUGUUGAAAAGUAUAGAAGCAAGGACUUUAAUGUUGAAGGUAAAGAAAGAGCAGGGGAAAAUUUUGAAGGAUCAAGGAACAAGAACUUCUUGCAGUUACUAUUGGAGCUUCAAGAAAAUGAAGACGGUUCUUCCUCAAUUAGCAUGAACCAAUUUAAGGCCGUACUCGUGGUAUGUUAAGAAACUAGCCGCAAACAGUUAUACAAGCACAGCUGUAUAUUUUGCAUGAGUGAUAUUUUCAACCUUUUUUUUUUAUAAUUAGAAUUUUAUUGUAACCUUUUGGACAGGAUAUAAUUACGGCUGGAACCGACACCACAACUACGAUGGUGGAAUGGACAAUGGCAGAGUUGAUGCAGCAUCCACAAAUAAUGAAGAAAGUUCAGGAAGAAUUAGCUCAAGUUGUGGGCAUGGACAGUUGUGUUGAAGAAUUUCAUUUGCCUAAAUUGAAAUAUUUAGAUGCUGUGGUGAAAGAAUCGUCUCGUCUGCAUCCUGCAGUGCCUUUAUUACUACCACGCAGAGCAAGCGAGAGUGGCAGCAUUGGUGGCUAUAACAUUCCCAAAGAUACAACUAUUAUGUUGAAUGUUUGGGCAAUCCACAGGGACCCUAAACUUUGGGAUAAUCCCUUAGAAUUUCGACCCGAGAGGUUUCUAGAUGAUGGUAUCGCGAGUAAGUUCGAUUACUCAGGUAACAAUUUUCAGUACUUGCCAUUUGGUUCUGGUAGAAGGAUGUGUGCUGGGAUUCCUCUAGCUGAGAGGAUGCUGAUGUUUGUUUUGGCUUCGUUAUUGCACUCAUUUGAGUGGGAAUUGCCAGCUGGCACAAAGCUAAACUUAUCUGAAAAAUUUGGGAUUGUCAUUAAGAAAAAAGAGCCUUUAGUUGCUAUUCCAACACCAAGACUAUCCAAUUCAGAGCUCUACCAUUAAGACAGAAUGGUUGUGAUGAUUUUGUUAAUUUCCGAAGAUUUGUAUGUUAUGUCAAGUUCAAUCGUAAUAAAAUAUUUCAAAUAAGAGUCCUCCGUUGCUUUUUUUUUUUUUUUCAACCGCAUAAUCUGUCGUCAUGCUUGUAUUUGGGGCUACUUUGGAAUAAUUAUGUUUGAAUUACAAUAUAUAAAUAUUACAUUUUAAAAUUUUAUGAGAUUCUAAAUUUAUACACGUUCAAUAACCCACUUCAUAUAUGUUUAACACAAUUUAUAUCAUACAUUGUAUACCCAUUUGUCAUAAAUUACGCUAUUUUAUAUCUCUAAAUAAUAUUACAUAUUGAUAUUAUAAAAUGUUGUUAACUCACGUGUGUAUAUAUAUAUAGCAAGUCACGUGCAUAUAUUAUUGGUUGUUAUAUGUUUGCUAGUUUGAUAGGAUUUCCUUUCCUUGUGAACUAGGGUAAUUCUUAUGUACAUAUAAAUAUUGAUCAAUAAGAGUGCAGAUGAUGACUGCAGUUUUGCAUCGUAGAAAUUCUUCGUAAAAUAUAUAUGUUUAUCAAAAGGCUAUACCAUUCAAUAUAUAUUGGAAAGAGAACAAAGAAGAUCUUCUUAUGGUUUGAAAAUAUUAUGAAUUCUGCUGUUGAACAGUAUGGAAACAAGGUCUGUUGUUAAAGGUGAAGAAGUCACAGGGAACAAUAUUGAAGGAAGAAAUUUCACGUUUAGUUGCUGAAUUUGCCGCUGUAUUCUAUCGGUAGUAAAAAGAUUAGAGUUUUUAUUUUUCUCUAUUAAUGUUAAGUCAAUUUUCUAUAACAAAUUCGGUUGAGUUUAAUUGUGUUACAAUAUAAAUUGAAUGAUAGUAGAAUUUUCAACGAAUAAUUCAAUAUUUCUAUCUCGAUUGUUGAAGUGCCAUUUAUUUGUUAUACGAUCGAUUUUAAAAUUUAUAAAAUUAUUUGUUACUAAAUUGCAUCAUAUGCUAAAUCACCUGAAACCUAAUUUCAUAACUAACCCUUUAUUUUUAGUUCUCAAGAAAUCUUGUAAGAACAAAAUUCUUUUGUAACAAAACGUUUACAACAAAUUAAUUUGUAACUCAUUCCUGUGCGAGAAUCACUCUCAAUUUCCUUCAAUUGCUGUUUAACAAUCAUCUGCUUAUCAAAAUUCAAGCAUAAUCUUUUUUUUUAAUUUCUUCAUCAUUCUUUUGAAAAAAAAAAUCAGGAUAUGCUGUUAAAUUUUGAAAUAAAUUAUCUCAAAAUAAUUACUAACCAGAAAAAACAAAGGGGUUUAACUAGGUUAUGCAUACCUUUGAAAAUUAUAUGUUGAUCGAUAAGAAUGAUGAUCACGAUUGACGAGUUUAAUUAAAAUAUAUAAGAUUUUAAAAUUAAUCAGGGUUAAAUUGUGAAUUUUAGAAAGAGAGGUUUUGUGAGAAUGUUGAAAGGGUGUUAAUAGUUCCACUCUUUUUAAAAACAACCAUAGUCAUCAUUUUUCCAUGGUUGUUUUUAAAAAGAGUAUUUCUUCUUCCCAUCUCCAUCUUAUUUAGAAAUUUCCCAGAGCCUUUGUUUCCCACCUUUCAUUUUUCUUCUUUCUAAUUUAAUAAUCCACCCUUCUUGUAUUCAAACUAAAAAAUUAAAAUCUGAAAAUUUAAAACCCAAUAUUAUAGUAUUAUAAAAAUAAUUACUCACAUUUUAUCAAACACCUCCAUUCUUCCAAGGCCUUGUUUUAGUAGUAGGCUUUUAUUAUCUCAAUAAAAUUGAAAAAAAAAAUCUCAAUAAUAUUGGAAAAAAACCCUACCCAUAUUUGUAACUUUAAUUUAUUAUUCUCCAUAGACCUACUUUUUAGUUUUGAAUUUUGUUGGAGCCAUAUAUAAACAGAAUAUGUUGAAAUCAGCACCCAAAAAAAAAAAAACUAAUUAUAUAAUUUAUGUUCCCAAGGACAUGGCUGAGUGAUUUUCAAGAAGUUUUGUUUGGCUGGCCACUUAGGUUUAAAUCUUGGUGGAGAUUAAGGGUUAAGAAAUAAAUUUAGACUUUGCACACCCCUUUAACUUUUAAAAAGAAAUGAAAAAAUUAAUUAAUUAAUCUUUAUUUUAUUUAUUAAAUGUCAUAAUCCUAUGCGUAUUUUAUUUGUUAUCUUUCUAUUUAAAAGACGAGGGCAGAUAAAACUGAAAUAAAUUUUUAGCCCUAUCUCCAUAUUUCAAGUUCCAUAGUUAGGUGACCAGCUAAAAAAAAUUAAUUGAAAGCUACUCCAUCAAAUUAAAAAAAUUUAUUUAUUUAAUUUGUGGAGAUGUAGAAAAUCAAACCCCAUACCUUUUCGCAUACACUGAACAUAUUUUAAUACAUGACUAUCAUCCUUUAUCCUAAAUACUACUAUAACUAAUAACAUACAAUUGAAAUAAUUAAUGUUAACACUUGGCUAUAAAUAAAGGUUUUGUGCUUGAAUCUUCACGCAUGACCUUCAUUCCUUUAUUGACUUUGCUAACACAGAUUUUGAGGCAUUAAAACUAAAUAAUAAUUGACUUUGUGGGCCGAGGAUGCCAGCAACAAGGAGACCACAAUUAUCACUUAAGUUACUCUAAUUGCCGUUGUCUUAUAUUCAUAGAAUAUUAGUAAUAAGAUUAUUGCAGAAUUUUUUUAAUAUUAAAAUUAAGUCAAUUUGUUAUAACAAAUUUAGUUGAGUUUAAUCGUGUUACUACAUAAAUUGAAUAAUAAUAGAAUUCUCGACAAAUAUUUCAAUAUUUUUAUCCCAAGCGUUGGAGUGGCAUUUAUUUGUUAUACGAUCGAUUUUAGAACUUAUAAAAUUAUUCGUUACUGAAUUGCACCAUAUGCUGCAUGACCUGAAACUUAAUAAACGGAAUGUAGCGUUGGCACCGUUACUCAACAUACUGUUACGACUUUGUGACAUUAGAAUUAAAAUCUUUUGCACAUUUAAUUUGUUUACUUCAAAAUUAAUAUUUAACAAAAUAUUUUUUUCACAUUAUCAAUGGACAAAACUCCAACGAAAAUAACUACACAAGAAAAAUGUAUGCUAGUAUUGUGUGCCAUAUCAUCUGUAAUUUUGUCAGGAUCGAACACUCUAAUUUUUAAGCAGAACUUUUUAUCAAUGGACAAACACCUCACACAGCUUGUCAGAGGCAUUAUUAUGAUAGAAAACUGUAAUGGUAUAUCUUGAAUUAUUGGUAGAAUAGUUCUUUGGAGCAAUAAAAAUAGAUAAGACAGAUGAGAAAAUUGUCAAUACCCCACCGCAAAAGCAAAAGAAAAAAAGGAAAGGAGACAAAAGAGGAAGAAGAAAAAAAGGAAAGGAGACAAAAGAGGAAGAAGAAAAAGAAAAAAGAACGAAGAAAAAAAUGGUGCCGCGCUGUAUUGGGAAGAAGAAAAAAAUUAAUAAAAUAAUAAUAAAUAAUAAAUAAUAAAUAAUAAAAUAAUAGUGCACAACAAUCAUUUGAUUGCUAUAAAUAAAGGGGCAUUUUCCUCAUUUUAUUCAUCGAAUUCUUCAGUUCCUUUCAAGCGAUUUAAGAGUCUAGUGAUUUGAGAGUUUGGGAGUAUUGUGAUUUUGAGUACUAAGUUAAAAUACUAUAAUACUUGUAACUCAUUUUCACUAGUAAAAUAUUUUUCUUCUGUCUUCGCCCGUAGACGUAGGCUAAAAGCUGAACCACGUAAUUUCUGGUGUCCCUAUGUGAUUAUGUGUCUCAUUAUUUCUCAAUUUUACUUUAGUUACGUGUCUGCUACACCCUUCAAUUUACUAACAAAAAUGGCCAAAAUUAUAUAAGUGACCCAAAUUUUUUUGCUAUUUCCAAGAAAUCCCCAAUCGGAAUAGACCAAACUAGAGGGAGGCAAGUUAGAAAUACGUUUCCUUCAUAAACAAUAACAGCGAUGAGUCGAUGACAUCGAGCCACGUCGGUAUCAAUAUUGAAUUAAAGGUGCAAUUAUUCAGCCAAUGAGCCUUACACAUCAAGAUAAAAGUCAAGAAAAUGAAAAAUUUAUCCUAAUUAAAACACUUUCUGGCUGCAUUUAGCUGUUUCUAUUUGAAGUUAAAAACAACAUUUCUUUCGUUUUGUGGGCAACUCGACUGAGUUCGCUGGCUUCUAGUGCUAGUAUGUGAAAAUAGAAGGCUAAUGAUUUAUUUGUUAUCUUUUGACAAAAAAUGUUAAAGAUAUAAUAGAUUUUCCAUGAUACAAAUGAAAAAUUAUAUCAACAUAACUUCCAAGCUACAGCAGCUAGUGUUUACCAAACACUUUGCUGUAGCUUUUAAGCUACAGCUGCCCAACCUCAAUAGGUUGAUUGAAUUUGUGGGAUAUAGAUUCCACAUAUCUCAUGACCUAUUAAUUAUACAAGUGGUUCUUGAUCAAGAACAACAUUUGCUUCCGACCCAGUAACCCAGCAACUGCUGCACUGGUCGCCACCUAUGGUGCCGACGAUAUUGCAUGGUCCAAUUAUGGCCUUGAAUGGAAAAAGUUGAGCAAAUUAUUUGUGGGCACGAUGAUAAGUAACGCAAGCCUUGAUGCUAGUUAUGGUCGAAGAAAACAAGAGGUUAAGAAUACUAUCAGAGAUAUGCAUAACAACAAAAAGGAAAAAAAAAAAAAAAGGCAUUGGCAAGUCAAUUGAUAUUGCUGAAUUGUCGAUUUCAACUUUGGCAUGUGUAAUUCAGACAUUGCGCGUUGUGGUAUGGCGCUGGCACGCUUGCAUUGCCGAGAGGACAAAUCUUGGGGCUGGGCUAAAAUUUAGGCUUGUAGAACUCAUGGUGCUAAUGGGAACGCCAAAUUUUUUUAACAUAUUUCGGUGCUUUCAUGGUUUAAUUCAAGGUAUAGAAAGGAGUGUUGAGAAUGUCAAAUAAAACGACAUUGAAUGGAAGUUGUCAAAGACAUGAUCCGCACUGAACGGCAAUGACACGGUUGGUAAAGAUUUUUUCAUAAUAUGCGUAUCUAAUUUUUGAAAAAUUGUAACCUCUGCUUCUAUAAAUAUGCUCAAUGUAUAAUGUUUUACUUAAGAAAUGAAAAACUUAAUUCUUUAUGGUAUCAGAGCGAGGCUCGUUGCUCUGUUUGUAACAAAAACAAAGAAAACUAAAUUCUUCCCACAACUAUUUUUCCACCUUUUUUUCUUCCUUAAAAGCAUUCCUAGCAUUACAGAAACCCAUGCCAAUAAAAGAACAAGCCACACAUAUGUAAAAACUUUAGUUUACAAAUCUAUCAACAUCCCCAUAAAUUUUCCCAAAAAGUGAUCUUCAAAAACCAAAAAUACCAUCAAUUUUCGCAUCUUCUAGUAAACAAACUAUAAAAGUUUCGCACUCAAACAGAGCCACACGCGCCUCCACGCGCUUCCCGGAAUCACGGCCAACCACCACGCGCCUCUGUCACCACCAACUCACCCUCAUGCGCUCCAGAUGUUGCAGAAGACGCAAAACGACGUGUCGUUUUCUUCUCUAAAAGUGCAGCAACGUGGAAAUGACUUUUUGUUUUUGCCUUAAAUUGUUUUUCCUCGUUUGAAGCUAUACAACAUUUUUCUUUCUAAACCUGUUUUUUACAAUAAAAAAAGAAAAAAAUGGAGAAAACUCCAACUGAAUCUACUCAUGUUGUCAUUCAAUCUGUUCAACCUGAUGGAGUAUUUAAUGCCGAAAUUAUCCUUACUAAGACAAACUACGAUAUUUGAUCUCAAAUAAUGGAGAUGCAUCUCGCAGAAAGAAAAAAACUCCCAUAUAUUCGUAGCAGCAUAAAUCCAUCUGACAAAUUUUCAAAGAAAUAUGAGAAAUGGUAUAGUGAGAACCAAAAAGUAAAAAGAUGGUUACUCAUAACCAUGUGUCCUGAGAUCAUGAAGCGAUAGUUACAAAUUCCUACAGCCUACGAAAUUUAGAAUGCAUUAUCAAAAGCCUUUUAUAAUGGAAGCGAUGAAAUACAAGUUUUCACUCUAAAUCAGAAGGCGUUCUCUACGAAGCAAAAUGGACAACCACUCUCUAAAUUCUACGGAGAAUUGAUCAAAAUGUUUCAAGAACUUAAUCACCGAGAUAAAGUGGUCAUGAAGGAUCCAGAAGAUGUUAUAAUAUAUAGGAAGUUUGUUGGAAGAUUGAGAGUGCACAUUUUUCUUGCUGGACUAGAUGAAGAAUUUGACCAAGUUUGUGGAGAAAUUCUACGAAAAGAUACUAUCCUAGACUUAAAAGAAUGUUAUUCUCUAAUCCGAAAAGAAGAUGUACGGCAAAGCAAACUAACAAGAAGGUGGACGACUCAGAAACGUCUGCUAUGAUACCACAAGAGAACAAUGUUUUGAAAUUGUUCGAUAUCCUGACUGGUGGGAUACUCGAAGUAAUAACACAAAGCAGAGAUAAAAAACUGCAGUAGCUGAAUCCACAUCCACUACAGAUCUUAGAAAAGAAUCUUCAGCGCAAAUUGCAACCUCUGUCAAUUCAGGUAAGGUCAUUAAAACUCUUACAUUUGUUAUUAAUAGUAUAUGGAUAAUUGAUUAUGGUGCAACUGAUCAUAUGACUUUUGAUUCUUGACAAGUUUCUUAAUUGAAACCAUCUUCACAUAAACAUGUUUCUACUGUAAAUAGAACCACAACCUCAGUUAUUGGGGAAGGAUCUUUACAACUCACAAUUAAAUCAAAUUUAGACUUUGUGUUAAUUGUUCCAUCUUUAAAUUAUAAUCUUUUAUAUGUGUCUCAAAUAACCUCUUACUUAUCAUGUGUUGUAAUGUUUUGGCCCGAUCAUUGCAUGUUUAAGGACAUCCAAAUGAAGGAAACGAUUGGUUAUGAUAUUAAAUAAGGCAACUUGUAUUACCUGGAGAUGACAUCAACAAACACUGAAAAGCUAAGCCCCGCAUUAGUAGCAGACAAUUCCAUGAAAAAAAAGGAAAUAAGAAAUUUGGUUAUGGCAUAGACGAUUAGGGCAUGUGUCAUUUGAUUUCUUAAAAAAAUUGUUUCCUAGUUUGUUUCUGAAAUUUGAUAUUUGUAACUUUAAAUAUGAUGUUUGUGAACUUUCAAAUAGCCAUCGAACUACUUUUCCAUUGUCCUUAAAUAAGAAUCCAAUUCCUUUAAUGGUAGUACAUUCUGAUGUAUAGAGACCAUCUAAAGUUUCUACCAUUGGAAGAGCUCGUUGGUUUGUUACAUUUAUUGAUGAUUGUAGCAGAAUGACAUGGAUUUUUUUAUGAAAUUAAAAUCAUAUGAUGGUGACAACUCUAUUUCAGACACAAAUUUGAGUUCUACAUACUGAUAAUGGAGGCGAGUAUAUGAGCACAACAAUUCAACAGUUUUUGAAAUCACAAUGAACUCACCACCAAACCACUUGUGUGGGGACACUCCAACAAAAUGGCGUUGCUAAACAAAAAAAUAGACAUUUACUAGAAGUUGUUCAAGCAUCACUAAUUUAGGCCCGCAUGCCACUAUUUUAUUGGGGAGAAGCAUUGGCAUCCGUAGCAUACUUGAUCAAUCGGACACCUUCAAUCUUCCUUGGAUUCCAAACUUAUUUUCUAGUUCUAAAUGAAGAAUUAUGUCAUCAAAUGUGUCGAAUUUACCCCCACAUAUGUUUGGUUGUGUUGCCUUCGUUCAUUUGCCAUGACAAGAUAAAUUAUCUCCUCGAGCACUACGUUGUGUGUUUGUAGGGUAUGCCUUACAUCAAAAGGGGUACCGAUGCUAUCAUCCUCUAUUAAGAAAAAAUAUACAUCACCAUGGACAUAAUCUUUCAUGAAGAUAUCAUGUAGUACCCAUCGGAGCUUGAAUUUCAGAGGGAGUAUAAUGAAGAGGAAAUUCAUACUCUUACAUAUCUUUCACCUGAAGAAGAUCAAUCCUCCAUUGAGGUAGUAAACGUUCAAGAUACUGGAAAAGAAAACGACAAUGAUUCUCAGGCUGAGACAAGUGAAGACACAUUUAGGGAGCAAAAUAACUCAGACAUAACCACAAUCGAGAACGAGUCCAUGAAGAGCCACAUGAAGAAAUAUCUAACCAAUCAUCUGCAGAGGAUGAUCCUACCACAAAUCCCAGUCUAAUCAGAAGAAUACUUCCCCAGCAUCAAAAUAGAGGUAUCUCUAAACCCACAUAUAAGACUGACCUCUCUAGUAGAGUCAAAUACCCUAUGAGUCAUUUUGUAUCUAACCAUGGCUUAUCAAAAUCAAAUCAGUCAUUUGUGAAUCAAUUAUCUACUGUGUCUAUUCCUAACAGUGUGCAAUAAGCCUUAAAAUAUCGAAAGUGGAAAGGGCUAUGAAUGACGAAAUGAGAUCUCUUUAAAAAAAAUCAAACAUGGGAACUAAUUGAUCUUCCACCAGGAAAGAAACCAGUGGGUUGCCGAUGGAACUAGUUGAUCAUCCACCUCCAUUCUGACAAGCAAUGUUUAUCAGCAAUAACAAAUGACUGAAGCAUUUUAAUGAGGUUAGUAACGAAAAAGAGUUUAAUUAGAGAAUAUUAUAAGAGAAAUUCUAAUUUUUGAUUUUUAAUAAAUUAAAAUAUCUUAAAAUAUUAUUAGUUGGUGGUGGUUUCAUGUCAGAUUAAGACGUGACACCUUACUAAUGAGGUCGAGACAAUUAGCUUAAAUUAUUUCAAUGCAUUUGAAAUUUCCACUAAUGACUAUAAUUCUUUGUCCUAAUUACUAUGAUAAUUAAUAACAUACAAUUGAAAUAGUUAAUAUUAGCACUUGGCAAUAAAUAAUUAAAUUUCAUUAACACUAAAUAAUAAUUGAAUAUGGCUUUGUACAUCGAUGACGCCAGCAACAAGGGGACCGCGAUUAUCACUCUUUAAGUUGCUUUUAAAAUUGAUUUUAGUAGUGAUAUGAUUAUUGUAGUGUUUUUAUUUUUUAUAUUAAAAUUAAGUGAUUUGUUAUAAUAAACUUAGUUGAGUUUAAUGGUAUUACUACAUAAAUUGAAUAGUUAUCAAAUAUUUUAAUAUUUUUAUGGCAAGCGUUGACGUGGCAUUUAUUUGUUGUAUGAUGGAUUUUAAAAUUUAUAAAAUUAUUUGUUAUUAAAUUACCCCCAGAUGCUACAUCACCUGAAACUUAAUAAAGGUAUGAAGACAUGUGUGUGUGGACUGAAAUGAAGAAUAUGGAAAAGUUGAGAGCUGUUGUGCAGAUUGAGUUCAGUUGAUGGGGUCUAUUAGAUAUUGUCUGCUGACGUGGCAUGAAUUCGUUAUAAUCUGUUAUAACGAGUUCAGUAUAUCAGUAUACAAUAGAGCUGAUGGAUGGUGCCUGUUUUAGAGUCUUUUUUAUAUUCAUUUGUUCAUCAUUUUGCGCAAGAUCUGUUCCAUUGUGAUAUGUGUAAAGUCUUAUGUAAACCCACUUAUGAUUGGAUUAGUUCUUGAUUAAUAACAACGAGUAAAUUUUCCUUCAAGUGUGCUGGUCUGUGCCCCUGUUUUUUGUUCUGAUAUUGUUUCUUUGUUCUGGCAUUUCAUUUCGAUUGUGUUCUUGGUGUUUCUACUCAUCAAGAUUUAUGAGUCUUGUUGAGAUUAAAGACUUAAUAGUCUUAACAAGUGGUAUCAGAGCCUGGUGAAUCUCAGCCAUGUCUCUUUCGAAGCAUGAAAUUGAAAAAUUCACCAUUGGUGGUGAUUUCUCGCUUUCGAAAUUAAAAAUGAGGGCUCUCCUUGUGCAUUAGAGGCUUGAAUUUGCUCUGGAAAAAGAUAAUCUAGAGGCUGCUACAAGUUAUGUGACUGAUGAUAAGAAGAGACAAAUCCAAAACCGAGCUCGUAGCACUCUAGUUUUGAGUCUUGGUGACUCAAUCUUGAGAAAGAUUUCUGAAGAGAAGACAACCUUAGGGAUUUGGAACAAGGUAGAAGCUUUGUGUACAAAGAAGUCGCUAGCUCACAGACUAUUCUUGAAGAAAAAGUUAUACACAUUCUCGAUGAGAGAAGGAGUCACAAUUCAAGAUCACAUUGAUACCUUCAACAAGAUCAUUCUUGAUCUUGAAGGGGUGGAAAAUGUGACAAUAAGUGAUGAAGAUAAAGCCUUCUUCUUGUUGAGUUCCUUACCAAAGUCUUAUGAAGGCUUUGUAGAUACAAUGCUUUAUGGCAGAACAACAUUGACUCUUGAAGAUGUUAAAGCAUCUCUAAGUUCAAAAGAGAUUCAGAAGAACAAUGAGAUUGAAACAAAUAAUGGUGAUGGGCUGAUUGCCAGAUCAGAAAAGAAGAAAGAUCAGAAGAAUAAAAAUCAGGGAAAAUGACAUGGAAAGAAUUAAGAAAAUGCAGACAAGAAGAAAAAGAAGAGAAAAUGCUUCUACUGCCGGAAGGAAGGGCAUUACAUCAGGGAUUGUCUUAAAAAGAAAAAAAAAGAAAGUCAAGAGAAGUCAGGGGAUGCAGCUGUAGCCUCUGAUGAUGCCUCUGAUGGAUAUCACAUUGCUGAUUUACUUGUGGCCUCAAAUAGCAAUACUAAAGGUCAGUGGGUCAUAGACUCUGAGUGCUCUUUUCACUUGUGGCCUGAUAAAACCAUAUUUUACAAAUAUGAAGUUGUUGAUGGUGGUAGAGUCUUAAUGGGAAAUAAUAAUGUGUGUAAUCUUGUUGGUAUUGGUUCUGUGAAGAUCAAGAUGUUUGAUGGAACUGUAAGAGCUCUACAUGAGGUGAGGCAUGCUCCUAGGCUAAAGAGAAAUCUAAUCUCUUUAGGCAUGCUAGACAGCUUAGGGUAUUUCUUUAAAUCAGAAAGUGGUGGUUUAGAGAUAAGAAAGGGGACUGAGAUAGUGAUGAAGGGGGUUAAAGAAAAUGGCUUAUAUGUAUUGUAAGGCUCAUCAGUGCUUCUUCAAAAGGGAAUUUCUGCUCUUUUUGAGGAAGAUAUAACCAAGUUAUGACAUCUUAGACUUGGUCAUAUGAGUGUCAAAGGGAUGUAAGAGCUCAGCAAACAAGGGCUACUUGGUGGGGAUAGAAUCCAGCAACUGGAAUUAUGUGAAAAUUGCAUUUUUGGCAAAGCUCACAGGUCCAAGUUUCACAAGGGGGAGCAUAUGUCUAAGCAAGUUUUGGACUAUGCACAUGCUGACCUUUGGGGGCCUGCUCAAGUCCCAUCCUUGAGUGGUGGCAGGUAUUUCAUAUCACUAAUUGAUGAUUACUCAAGGAAGAUGUGGGUCUACAUACUCAAGACCAAAGAUCAAGCCUAGGAAAAAAUUCAAGGUAUAGAAAUCUUUGGUAGAAAAUCAAUUUGGAUUCAAGCUCAAAUGCUUGAGAACUGAUAAUGGUUUGGAAUUUUGUAGCAAAGAAUUUGAGGAAUAUUACAAAAAAACAUGGCAUAAAAAGGCACAAAACAGUCAGGUUCACCCCCCAGCAGAAUGGCUUGGCUGAAAGGAUGAACAUGACCUUGGUAGAUAAGACCAGAUGUAUGUUGAUAAAUUCAAAGCUUCCAAGAAGCUUUUGGGCAGAAGCUGUCAAUACAACAAGUUGUUUGGUUAACAGAAGCCCAUAUUCUGCAAUUGGCUUCAAAACACCAGAAGAAUUGUGGAAGGAAAAACCUGUAAAUUACCAAAAUCUCAGUGUUUUUGGAUGCCCUGCUUAUCUCCACAUCAAUCAAGGCAAGCUGGAAGCUAGGGCCUUGAAAGGAGUCUUUGUUGGAUAUCCUGAUGGGGUUAAGGGAUACAUAAUCUGGUGUAGAGAGUAAGGGAAGUGUAUAGUCAGCAGGGAUGUUGUGUUUCAUGAAUUUGGAUUGCUAAAAGAAAAUGCAGAGAAUGAUACUAGACUACAAAAUGAUUCAAUAAUUAUCAAACAAUCUGGAACUUCCAAGGUUAAGGUGGAGCUGUUUGGAAAUAAAGACAGUAGAAAAGAGGUAGCUGAUUAUGAAGAGAGGACCACAGCUAAAGUUGAGGAACAUGAGUCAUCAGAGUUGCCACAAGCUGACUUGCAGACUUAUCAGUUAGCAAGAGAUAGAGUUAGAAGAGAAGUCAAAGCACUAGUGAGGUAUGGCUAUGCUGACUUAAUUACUUAUGCAUUGUUGUGUGCUGAUGAUGUGGCAAUUGAAGAGCCUGCUAACUUCUCUGAAGUUAUUGAAAGUGUGCAUUGUGAUAAGUGGCUUGAGGCAAUGCAAGAUGAAAUGGGAUCCCUUCAAAGAAAUCAGACCUGGACACUUGUUCCAAAUCUAGGUAAUAAAAAGUUGAUCAGUUGUAAGUGGAUCUUCAAGAAGAAUGAAGGAAUUCCAGAUGUUGAACCUCCCAAAUAUAAAGCAAGGCUAGUGGCUAGGGGGUUUACACAGAGAAAGAGUGUAGAUUUCAAUGAAAAAUUUUCCCCUGUUCUUAAGCACAUUUCAAUAAGAAUUUUAUUAGUCAUGGUAGCCUUACUUGACUUGGAGCUUGAGCAAAUGGAUGUAAAAACAGCAUUCCUUCAUGGUAAUCUUGAAGAACAGAUAUUGAUGGCACAACCUAAAUGUUUUGAGUGCAAAGGAAAUGAGGAUUAUGUUUGUUUGCUGCAUAAGUCCUUGUAUGGACUCAAGCAAUCCCCACGACAGUGGUACAUAAGAUUUGAUGAUUUUAUGGUCUCAAAAGGCUAUCACAUAAGCAAAUAUGACAGUUGUGUUUACUUUGGUGGAUCAUAUCAAGGUGGAGUUGCUUAUUUGCUUCUGUAUGUUGAAGAUAUGUUAAUUGCAAGAAAAUAUAAGUUGGAGAUAGAGAGGUUGAAGAAAUGAAGGAUCUCGGCAAUGCCAAAAGAAUCCUUGGGAUGAACAUUACAAGGGGCAGAUCUGCUGACACUUUGUUCUUGAGUCAUGAGAAAUAUAUCAAGAAGGUUCUGGAGAGGUUUGAGAUGCAAGACUAUAAACCUGUCCAAACACCACUUGGUCCCCAAUUCAAGUUGACAGCAGCUCAAUCAUCAGAAGAUGAGUCUCAGGUGAGUGAAUUCCCAUAUGCACAGGUUGUAGGGAGCCUGAUGUAUGUAAUGGUAUGCACCAGGUCAGAUAUAGCUUAUGCAGUAAGUGUUGUCAGCAAAUUUCUCAGUUGUCUAGGCAAGGUUCACUGGAAUGUUGUAAAAUGGAUAAUGAGAUAUCUUAAGGGCUCUUUUACUUGUGGUUUGCUGUAUGGGAAGACUAAGAGUGACAUAAGUGAAGUCCUGGGGUUUGUAGACUCUGACUUUGCUGGAGAUCUUGAUAGAAUGAAGUCAACCUCAGGGUAUAUGUUUGUGUUAAACAGUUGCCUGAUUAGCUGGAAGUCAUCACUUCAGUCUGUGGUUGCUUUAUCCUCAACUGAAGCUGAGUUUGUUGCAACUACAGAGGCAGUAAAAGAGGCCAUGUGGCUAAGAGGUUUGCUUAAUGAGUUAUGGUUAAAUCAGAAAAUUGUUCAGGUUUUCUGUGAUAACCAAAGUGUCAUACACCUGGUAAAGAAUCAGAUGUAUCAUGAAAGAACCAAGCACAUUGAUGUGAAGCUCCAGUUUAUCAGAGAUGAGGUUGGAAAAGGAACUAUAAUUGUGUCCAAGAUCUAUACCAGUGUGAAUCCAACUGAUGUUAUUACAAAAGCACUUCCCACUGCAAAAUUUGAAUUCUAUGUGAAUCUAAUGGGCAUCUCGCCCAAACCUAACUAAAUUCAAUAGUGAAUUGUAGUUGAAUGAAGGUUUUUUAGGUGCUGUGUUAUUGAAAGGAUCAACUGAAUCAACUGCAAGGUGGAGAAUGUGAAGAUGUGUGUGUGGACUGAAAUGAAGAAUAUGAAAAAGUUGAGAGCUGUUGUGCAGAUUGACUUCAGUUGAUGGGGUCUAUUAGAUAUUGUCUGCUGACGUGGUAUGAAUUCGUUAUAAUCUGUUAUAACGAGUUCAAUAUAUCAGUAUAUAAUGGAGCUGAUGGAUGGUGCCUGUUUUAGAGUCUUUUUCGUAUUCAUUUGUUCAUCAUUUUGCACAAGAUUUGUUCCAUUGUGAUCUGUGUAAAGUCUUCUGUAAAUCCACUCAUGAUUGGAUUAGUUCUUGAUCAAUAACGAGUAAAUUUUCCUUCAAGUGUGCUGGUCUGUGCCCCUGUUUUUGGUUCUAAUAUUGUUUCUUUGUUUUGGCAUUUCAUUUCGAUUGUGUGCUUGGUGUUUCUACUCAUCAAGAUUUGUGAGUCUUGUUGAGAUUAAAGGCUUAAUAGUCUUAACAAAAGGGAAUGUAGCAUUGCCAUUAAUCAACAUUCACUCUUAUGACUUUAUGACAUUAGAAUUAAAAUCUUUCGUACAUUUAAUUUAUUUGCUUCCAAAUUAAUCUUUAAUAAAUAUUUUUUCACAUUAUCAUCAAUGGACAAAACUCCAACGAAAAUAACUACACGAGAACAAUUUAUGCUAGUAUUAAAUGCCACGAUAUCUAUAACUUUGUCUGGAUCGAUCAUUCUAAUUUUUUCGCAGAACUUUUUGUCAAUGGACAAACACCUCACAGAGCUUGUCAGCCGCAUUAUUACGAUGUAAAAUUGUACCGGAAUAUCUUGAAUUAUUAGUAGAAUAAUGAAGACUAUUUGGGGCAAUAAAAACAAAUAACGCAGAUAAAAAAAUGGCUAAAAUUAUGUAAGUGAGCCCCAAAGUUUUUGCUAUUUCCAGGAAAUCCCAAAUUUGAAUGGACUAGAGGGAGGCACGUAAGAAAUACAUUUUCUUCCUAGACAAUGACAGCUAUGACAUCAAGCCACGGUGGCGUCAGUAUUGAAAUUAAGGUGUAAUUAUUCAGCCAAUGAGCCUUACACAUCAAGAUAAAAGUCAAGAUAAUGAAAAUUUGGCUGUUUCCAUUUGAAGUUAAAAGCAACGUUUCUUUCGUUUUGUGGGCGACUCGACUGAGCACGCCCCAAUAGCUAUAUUUAGGGCGUCAAUUUGAUAUUUGAAUGGACAGGCAAGUAAGAAAUACAUUUCCUUCAUAGACAAUGACAACGAGGACAUCAAGCCACAUCAUUAUAGUUUGUAGCCCAUCUACAUUUAAACGAUUAAUAAACAAGCUUAGGUGUGCCACUGCUAUUAUUAAUUAUCCCCUGAUCAUUAUAGUUUCUGAAACAGUAAAACUAAACGAAAUUGAAUACAUCAACGAGACCGCAAUUAUCACUUGUUUAGUUGCGGUAUUUAACUUAAUUUUAAUAUAAUAUAUUUGUUAGUUAAACUUUUAAUAAUCAAAUAAUUUUGAUUUAAAAAUAAAAUUAUAGAAAUUAUUAAUUAUUAAUUAUUAAAAAUUCACAAUUAAGGGAACGUUCAUCAAACACACAUAGCUAUUGUUUUCUCUAUAUAUUGCAGUGUGUACGAUAUUGAGGGUUGAAGCCCCAAGCAUGCUCUAAAAUCCAGAUAAUAAUUAGAUCCGGGCCAAAUAUUCAUCAUUGUGUCAGCUGAUCAGUCGGUGGACAUCUCUAUUGAAAAUAUCUCUGACAUUUCACUCGACAAACUUAUUAAUAUAAAAAAUCUGUGGUUUUGCCGUCUGAAUAAUGUAGAAAAAUUUGUCUAUGCAUUAAUCUAGAUGUUUGAGGUGAUUUAUACAUCUGUGGUAAAGAUUUAUAGGUUGACUUAGACGUCUGUGGUAUAGAUUUUAUGUAUUUCAUUACAAAAUGCUGGCCGUUAGAACCCUUUCUACAUCUAUUUAUAAGAUUAACGGGUGCCAGCUAUGCCAUUACAAAUUAUCCCCUCAUCAGAUAUUUCGUUAAAAUUCAUUCUGAAACACUAAAACUAAAUAAUCGAAUAUGGCUUUGCGGGUCGAUGAUGCCAGCAGCAAUGAGACUGCAAUUAUCACUUGUUUAGUUUCUGUGCUGGCCGUGGUUUACUUCGCAUGGAAUGUGAAAAAAUCAAGGAAAGCAAAUGCUACACUGCCACCAGGACCUCGCGGCUUGCCUGUAUUCGGAUACCUCCCAUUUCUUGGAACUACUGACUUGCACAAGAAAUUCACGGAAUUAUCCGGAGUUUAUGGUCCGAUCUUCAAGCUUUGGCUUGGAAAUAAAUUAUGUGUAGUGGUGAGCUCACCUUCCCUAAUUAGACAAGUGGUUCGUGAUCAAGAUACAACAUUCGCGAACCGUGACCCACCGAAGGCUGCACUAGUGGUCUCCUAUGGUGGCAAUGAUAUUGCAUGGUCCAAUUACGGUCCCGAAUGGAGAAAGUUGCGCAAAUUUUUUGUGGGCAAGAUGAUGAAUAACGCAAGCCUUGAUGCUUGUUAUGCUCUAAGAAGACAAGAGGUUAAAAAUACUAUCAGGGAUUUGUAUAACAACGACAACAAAAUUGGCAAGCCCAUUGACAUUGGUGAAUUGUCGUUUUCAACAUUGGUAUGUGCUAUACAGAACAUGCUGUGGGGUGAAGCGCUUGAAUUAAAAGAGAAAGGGACCACUAAUCUUAGGGCUGGGCUAAAAUUUAAGCUGGCAGAACUCAUGGUGCUUGCGGGAACACCGAAUAUUUCGGAUGUCUUUCCAAUGCUUUCAUGGCUUGACAUACAAGGUAUAGAGAGGAGAGCAAAGAAGAUUUCACUCUGGCUUGAUAAUGUUAUAAAUUCUACUGUUGAACAGCAUAGAAACAAGGAGUUAACUGUUGAAGGUGAAGAAAGAGCGGGGAAAAAUUUUGAAGGAUCAAGGAACAAGAACUUCUUGCAGUUACUAUUGGAGCUUCAAGAAAAUGAUGACAGUGCUUCCUCAAUUAGCAUGAACCAAUUCAAGGCCGUACUCGCGGUAUGUUAAGCAACUAGCCACGAACAGUUAUACAAGCACAAUUGUAUAUUUGCAUGAGUGAUAUUUUCAACCUUUUUUUUUAAUUAGAAUUUUAUUGUCACCUUUUGGACAGGAUAUAAUUACGGCUGGAACCGACACCACAACUACGAUGGUGGAAUGGACAAUGGCAGAGUUGAUGCAGCAUCCACAAGUAAUGAAGAAAGUUCAGGAAGAAUUAGCUCAAGUUGUGGGCAUGGACAGUUGUGUUGAAGAAUUUCACCUGUCUAGAUUAAUGUAUUUAGAUGCUGUGGUGAAGGAAACAUUUCGUCUGCAUCCUGCAGUGCCUUUAUUACUACCACGUAGGGCAAGCGAGAGUGGCAACAUUGGUGGCUAUACCAUUCCCAAAGAUACAACUCUUAUGUUGAAUGUUUGGGCUAUCCACAGGGACCCUCACCUUUGGGAUAAUCCCUUAGAAUUUCGACCCGAGAGGUUUCUGAAUGUUGGUAUCGAGAGUAAGUUCGAUUACUCAGGUAACAAUUUUCAGUACUUGCCAUUUGGUUCUGGUAGAAGGAUGUGUGCUGGGAUUCCUCUAGCUGAGAGGAUGCUGAUGUUUGUUUUGGCUUCGUUAUUGCACUCAUUCGAGUGGGAAUUGCCAACUGGCACAAAGCUAAACUUAUCAGAAAAAUUUGGGAUUGUCAUUAAGAAAAAAGAGCCUUUGGUUGCUAUUCCAACACCAAGACUAUCCAAUUCAGAGCUCUACCAUUAAGACCAAAUGGUUGUGAUGAUUUUGUUAAUUUCCGAAGAUUUGUAUGUUAUUUCAAGUUCAAUCGUAGUAAAAUAUUUCAAAUAAGAGUCCUCCGUUGCUUUUUUUUUUUUUUUUCAACGGCAUAAUCUGUGGUCAUGCUUGUAUUUGGAGCCACUUUAGAAAAAUUAUGUUUGAAUUACAAUUUAUAAAUAUUACAUUUUAAAAUAUUAUGAGGCUAAAUUUAUACACGUUCAAUAACCCGCUUCAUAUAUAUUUAACACAAUUUAUAUCAUACAUUGUACACCCAUUUAUCAUAAAUUACACUAUUUUGUAUCUCUAAAUAAUAUUACGUAUUGAUAUUAUAAAAUAUAUAUGGAAAAGAGAACAAAGAAGAUUUCUUAUGGUUUGAAAAUAUUAUGAAUUCUGCUGUUGAACAGUAUGGAAACAAGGUCUCUGUUGUUAAAGGUGAAGAAGCAACAGGGAACAAUAUUGAAGGAAGAAAUUUCACAUGUUUAGUUGCUGAAUUUGCCGCUGUAUUCUAUCGGUAGUAAAAAAAUUAGAGUUUUUAUUUUUCUCUAUUAAUGUUAAGUCAAUUUUCUAUAACAAAUUCGGUUGAGUUUAAUUGUGUUACAAUAUAAAUUGAAUGAUAAUAGAAUUUUCAACGAAUAUUUCAAUAUUUCUAUCUCGAUUGUUGAAGUGCCAUUUAUUUGUUAUGCGAUCGAUUUUAAAAUUUAUAAAAAUUAUUUGUUACUAAAUUGCAUCAUAUGCUAAAAUCACCUGAAACCUAAUUCCAUAACUAACCCUUUAUUUUUAGUUCUCAAGAAAUCUUGUAAGAACAAAAUUCUUUUAUAACAAAACUUUUACAACACAUUAAUUUGUAACUCAUUCCUGUGCGAGAAUCACUCUCAAAUUCCUUCAAUUGCUGUUGAACAAUCAUCUGCUUAUCAAAAUUCAAGCAUAAUCUUUUCUUUUUUUUAAUUUCUUCAUCAUUCUUUUGAAAAAAAAAAAUCAGGAUAUGCUGUUAAAAUUUUGAAAUAAAUUAUCUCAAAAUAAUUACUAACCAGAAAAAACAAAGGGGUUUAACUAGGUUAUGCAUACCUUUGAAAAUUAUAUGUUGAUCGAUAAGAAUGAUGAUCACGAUUGAGGAGUUUAAUUAAAAUAUAUAAGAUUUUAAAAUUAAUCAGGGUUAAAUUGUGAAUUUUAGAAAGAGAGGUUUUGUGAGAAUGCUGAAAGGGUGUUAAUAGUUCCACUCUUUUUAAAAGCAACCAUAGUCAUCAUUUUUCCCGAUUUCUUCUUCCCAUCUCCAUCUUAUUUAGAAAUUUCCCAGAGCCUUUGUUUCCCACCUUUCAUUGUUCUUCUUUCUAAUUUAAUACUAUAGGAUUACAAAAAUAAUUACUCACAUUUUAUCAAACACCUCCAUUCUACCAAGGCCUUGUUUUAGUAGUAGGCUUUUAUUAUCUCAAUAAAAUUGAAAAAACAAAUCUCAAUAAUAUUGGAAAAAAAAAACCUACCCAUAUUUGUAACUUUAAUUUAUUAUUCUCCAUAGACCUACUUUUUAGCUUUGAAUUUUGUUGGAGCCAUAUAUAAACAGAAUAUGUUGAAUCAGCACCAAAAAAAAAAAAAAAAAACUAAUUAUAUAAUUUCUGUUCCCAAGGACAUGACUGAUUGAUUUUCAAGAAGUUUUGUUUGGCUGGCUACUUAGGUUUAAAUCUUGGUGGAGAUUAGGGGUUAAGAAAUAAAUUUGGACUUUGCACACCCCUUUAACUUUUAAAAAGAAAUGAAAAAAACUAAUUAAUUAAUCUUUAUUUUAUUUAUUAAAUAUCAUAAUCCUAUGCGUAUUUUAUUUGUUAUCUUUCUAUUUAAAAGACAGGAGGGCAGAUAAAACUGAAAUAAAUUUUUAGCCCUAUCUCCAUCUUUCAAGUUCCAUAGUUAGGUGACCAGGUAAAGAAAAUUAAUUGAAAGCUACUCCAUCAAAUUAAAAAAUUUUAUUUAUUUAAUUUGUGGAGAUGUAGAAAAUCAAACCCCAUGCCUUUUCGCGUGGAAAAGUGUCAACCUGGUCUAGCUAUGUUGCAAAAGUGAACAUAUUUUAAUACAUGACUAUCAUCCUUUAUCCUAAAUACUACUAUAACUAAUAACAUACAAUUGAAAUAAUUAAUGUUAACACUUGGCUAUAAAUAAAGGUUUUGUGCUUGAAUCUUCACGCAUGACCUUCAUUCCUUUAUUUACUUUGCUAACACAGAUUUUGAGGCAUUAAAACUAAAUAAUAAUUGACUUUGUGGGCCGAGGAUGCCAGCAACAAGGAGACCACAAUUAUCACUUGUUAAGUUACUCUAAUUGCCGUUGUCUUAUAUUCAUAGAAUAUUAGUAAUAAGAUUAUUGUAGAAUUUUUUUAUAUUAAAAUUAAGUCAAUUUGUUAUAACAAAUUUAGUUGAGUUUAAUCGUGUUACCACAUAAAUUGAAUAAUAAUAAAAUUCUCGACAAAUAUUUCAAUAUUUUUAUCCCAAGCGUUGGAGUGGCAUUUAUUUGUUAUACGAUCAAUUUUAGAAUUUAUAAAAUUAUUCGUUACUGAAUUGCACCAUAUGCUGCAUGACCUGAAACUUAAUAAACGGAACGUAGCGUUGGCACCGUUACUCAACAUACUGUUACGACUUUGUGACAUUAGAAUUAAAAUCUUUUGCACAUUUAAUUUGUUUACUUCCAAAUUAAUAUUUAACAAAAUAUUUUUUCACAUUAUCAAUGGACAAAACUCCAACGAAAAUAACUACACAAGAAAAAUGUAUGCUAGUAUUGUGUGCCAUAUCAUCUGUAAUUUUGUCAGGAUCGAUCAUUCUAAUUUUUAAGCAGAACUUUUUAUCAAUGGACAAACACCUCACACAGCUUGUCAGAGGCAUUAUUAUGAUGGAAAACUGUAAUGGUAUAUCUUGAAUUAUUGGUAGAAUAGUUCUUUGGAGCAAUAAAAACAGAUAAGACAGAUGAGAAAAUUGUCAAUACCCCACCGCAAAAGCAAAAGAAAAAAAGGAAAGGAGACAAAAGAGGAAGAAGAAAAAGAAAAAAGAACGAAGAAAAAAAUGGUGCCGCGCGGUAUAGGCAAGAAGAAAAAAUAAUAAUAAAAUAAUAAAAUAAUAGUGCACAACAGUCAUUUGAUUGCUAUAAAUAAAGGGGCAUUUCCCUCAUUUUAUUCAUCGAAUUCUUCAGUUCCUAAGCGAUUUAAGAGUCUAGUGAUUUGAGAGUUUGGGUAUAGUAUAGUUUUGAGUAGUGAGUUAAAAUAUUACAAUACUUAUAACUUAUUUUUACUAAUAAAAUAUUUUUCUUCUAUCUUCACCCGUGGACGUAGGGUCAAAGCCGAAUCACAUAAUUUUUAGUAUCCCUAUGUGAUUAUGUAUCUCAUUAUUUUUCAAUUUUACUUUAGUUACGUGUCUGCUACAUCCUUCAAUUUACUAACAAAAAUGGCCAAAAUUAUAUAAGUGACCCAAAUUUUUUUGCUAUUUCCAAGAAAUCUCCAAUCUGAAUGGGCCAGACCAGAGGGAGGCAAGUUAGAAAUACGUUUCCUUCAUAGACAAUAACAGCGAUGAGUCGAUGACAUCGAGCCACGUCGGUAUCAAUAUUGAAUUAAAGGUGCAAUUAUUCAGCCAAUGAGCCUUACACAUCAAGAUAAAAGUCAAGAAAAUGAAUAUUUAUCCUAAUUAAAACACUUUCUGGCUGCAUUUAGUUGUUUCCAUUUGAAGUUAAAAGCAACGUUUCUUUCGUUUUGUGGGCAACUCGACUCAGUUAGCUGGCUUCUAGUGCUAGUAAGUGAAAAUAGAAGGCUAAUGAUUUAUUUGUUAUCUUUUGAUAAAAUUAUUAAAGAUAUAAUAGAUUUUUCAUGAUACAAAUAAAAAAUCACAUCAACAUAGCUUCCAAAGUACAACAGCUAAUGUUUACCAAACACUUUGUUGUAGCUUUUAAGCUACAGCUGCCCAACUUUAAUUUCAAAUGCACCCUUAAUAGGUUGAUUGAAUUUGUGGGAUAUAGAUUCCACAUAUCGUAUGACCUAGUAACUAUACAAGUGGUUCGUGAUCAAGACACAACAUUUGCUUCCGGCCCGGUGACCCAGCAAUCGCUGCAUUGGUCGCCACCUAUGGUGCCAACGAUAUUGCAUGGUCCAAUUGUGGCCUUGAAUGGAAAAAGUUGAGCAAAUUAUUUGUGGACACGAUGAUAAGUAACGCAAGCCUUGAUGCUAGUUAUGGUCCAAGAAAACAAGAGAUAUGCAUAACAACAAAAAGGAAAAAAAAAAAAAAAAAAAAAAAGGCAUUUGCAAGCCCAUUGAUAUUGGUGAAUUGUCGAUUUCAACUUUGGCAUGUGUAAUCCAGAGCCUGCGCGCUGUGGUGUGGCGCUGGCACGCUUGCAUUGACGAGGGGACAAGUCUUGGGGCUGAGCUAACAUUUAAGCUCGCAGAACUCAUGGUGCUAAUGGGAACACCAAAUAUUUUUUGACAUAUUUUGGUGCUUUCAUGGUUUAAUUCAAGGUAUAGAAAGGAGUGUUGAGAAUGUCAAAUAAAACGGUAUUGAAUGGAAGUUGUUAAAGACACGAUCCGCACCGAACGACAACAGCACGGUUGCUAAAAAUCCUUCCGUAAUAGGCAUAUCUAAUUUUUGAAAAAGUGUAACCUCUACAUUUAUAAAUAUACUCAAUGUAUAAUGUUUUACUUAAGAAAUGAAAAACUUGUUUGUUCAAGGAGAAUAAAGAAAAAUUUUCUAUGAUUUUUCUAUGGUUUGAACAAAGAAGGUUUUAACGAGUAUUAUAGACCUCGAUUGAAUGUUCGAAUGUAUAAUAAAAGAGAAACUGUCACAUAAAUGACAAAGAUACUUGAAAAAAAAAAAAAAGGGCAGCAAUAGAGAAUUAGAUCCGACUGUACAAAUAACUAGUUAAUUCAUCGAUACAUCAUUUUCUUGCUAGAAAAUGACAAUUAUGACAGCAAGCCACGAUAGUGUCAAUAUUGAAAUUGAUUUGCAAUUAUUCAGCCUAUGAGCCUUACACGUCAAGAUAAAAGUCAAGAAAAUGAAAGUUAAUAUCAAUUAAAACACUUCCAUUUCUAUGUGAAGUUAAAAAACAACGUUUCUUUUGUUUUGUGGGGGAUUCAACUGAGCACGCGCCACUAGCUAGCUGGCUUCUAGUUCUAGCAUAUGAAAACAGAAUUCUAAAGAUUUCACUUUCACCUUUUUUCUUUUUUUGGGGUUUUGAAUCAAAGUCAAGGUCGCACUGAAUAAUAUGUAAAAUUUGAAAAAGAAGAAUUAAUAGAGAACAAAGUUUUGUUUUAAAUUCACAUGGUGUGCAUACAAUUCAACAAACACUUCCUAUAAUAAAUCUGGAGUUGUAUCCCACGUUGAACAAUAAAGGAAAGUCACCUAAAUAUACAUGUAGGAUAAGUUACUUUAUUUAGUAAGUUUGUAUUUUCUUCUUUCUUCUAGUUUACAUAUAAAUUUGAUUAGAUAACUUAACACAUAUUUUAAUACUUGAUCAGAAGCCCGACGUACAGGUGGAUCUAGAAACUUGAUUUCUAAGAGUAAUACUAUAAUAAAAAAAUAAUGAUUCAUAGAACCAAUAUCAAAAUUUGUUUACAAGAUUGCCCCCACUCAAAGGUAAUUUUCAUAGAAAUUAAUAGGAAAUUUAAUUGUUAGUGGGGUCAAAUUGCCCCCACACUCUGAAUGUAGAUCCACGCCCGACCCUGAGUCAAGUAUAUUUUGCCACAUAUACUCUGAAUGUCGGCAGGAAAAAUCUUCCACUUUAGUUAAAAAUUUUCACUUAAAAAAUAUUUAUGUUAAUAAAGUUCGUAAAGGAAAUGAGUUUAAUUAAUGAAUAUUAUAGGAGAAAUUAAAGGAAAUGAGUUUAAUUAAAGAAUAUUAUAGGAGAAAUUCUAUUGUUCGGCUUUUAAUAAAUUAAUUAAUAGGUUUAAAAGAUUAAUAUACAUCAAAAUAUUAUUAGUUGGUGGGGGUUCCACAUCGGACUAAUACGUGUCACCUUACUUGUGAGAUUAAGACAAUCGACUUAGACUAUUUAAAUAUGUUUGAAGCUUAGAUGGCACCGCUUCAAUUUGCAUUACUGAAUGUCAUUCUUUAUCCUAAUUACUACCGUAAUUGAUAACAUGCAAUUGAAGUAACUAAUAUUAGCACUUGGCUAUAAAUGAACUAAAGGCCGUGCAAUUGAAUCUUUACUUGAUCACUUCACUCCUUUAUUUUGCUAACACAGAUUUUGAGAUAUUAAAACGAAAUAAUAAUUGAAUCUGGCUUUGUGGGUCGAUGAUGCUAGCAAAAACGAGACCACAAUUAUCACUUGUUUAUUUGCUGUAUUUGACGUUGUUUCAUAUUGGUAGUAAUAGGGUCAGUUUUUAAUCUUUUUAUAUUAAAGUUAAGUCAAUUUGUUAUCAAAAAAAAAAAUUGGUUGAGUUUAAUUAUAUUGCUAUGUACAUUAAAUAAUUAUAAUAUUCUUGAGGGAAAAAGACACCUAGAACCUCAAGGUUUGGGGAAAUGGUCACAAAGACUCCUAAGUUUUAAAAAAGGAACACUAAGAUCUUUUUUUACCCAUAAUACCCUUUGACUAGAGUAAUUAAAAAAUUGACUUUAAAGGUUUUUAAAUAAUUCUAAUUUAAUAUAAAUCAUAUAAUCUAUCUAGUAAACUAAUAAUAUUAAAUUAUUUUUUAUAUUUAAAAUAAUGUUAAAUUUUAAAUUAUUAUAUUUAUAAAAUUAUAAAGAUUUUAAAUAAAUAUUUGGAUUGAAUAUAUUUUACAAUUAAAAGUCUUCCUAUUAAUAAUAUUAAAAUUUAAUUUUACAAAAUAUAUAUUCAAAAUAUUUUUAAUUUUAAUUUAUUUAUUUUAAUAUUAUGUUUCUACCUAUUAUUAAAAAUUACUUUAAUAUAAUAAAAUAGGUCUAAUAGAUUGAAAAAUAUGAAAAUAUUUUUAAAAUUUUAAAUUAUUUUGAAAUGUAUAUAUUAUUACAUUUAUUUCAAUGUCAUAUUUUCAUUUAUUAUAAAAUUUUGGGGUUAUUUUUUUGGGAAUUUAUAGAGUCAAAGAGCAUUAUAAUUUAAUCCAUGCACAAUAUCUAUAAUUAUAUCGGUUGUCGGCUGAUUUCGUGGAGGGGGCGGCAGUUCAAAAUUUUUACGUGCAUGUUGGAUGGACGUCUCUAUUAAAGGAGAGCCACCACUUGCAUGGUAAUUUUUUUAAAUAAAUAUAUACAUUUCAAAACAUUAUUUUCUUGUUGUAUAGUUAACAUGUCACCUUAGAUGUAUUUUAGAGCUUCUCCUAUUAAAGAUAAUCUCAUGCAGUGUUACAGAGUAUGGUAAUAUGGUAUAGAUGAGAGCAUCUGAUUAAAUGAAGCAGCUGGUAAUGCUUACGUGUGUGAGUUAGUUAUCCAGCUCAGCAGCAAAGCAAACGAAAUGAAUUGCAUGCAUAUUAGAUCCAACAAACUGGUAAACUCUAGAUUCUUCUUUCAUUUAGUAUAAAUACCAAGUUGUUAUCAUUUGCUAAAUAUAUAAUAAGAUGAUCAUUUUCAGAUCUUUCCUUUAUAAUUUUCUAUAACUUUCUCGUUAGUUUCUCUUGAACCAAACACUUUGUACGAACUCUUUCGUGCAGUGAUACUUCUCGUGAUCUAAUCAUUAGUAGAAUCUAUAAUUUCGCUACUGUAAUAAAAUCUGUCACUACCCUAUAUGAAUGUAGAUAUUUGACGCGAUUUGUAAUUGCUUCCGACAGGAAAACAGCAAUAGUUUUAUUGAAAUUUGUGGUAUAGAUUCCACGAAUCUUAUGACAGAAUACUGACCACUCCAACCCUAUCCGCAUUUACACGAUUAAUACACAAGCUUAGAUGUGACAAUGCAUUUGUCACUCAUUCAAAUUCAUCCUGAAACACUAUACACUAAAUAAUCGAAUAUGGCUUCGUGGGUCGAUGAUGCUAGCAGCAACGAGACUGCAAUUAUCACUUGUUUUGUUGCUGUACUUGUCGUGGUCUAUUUCGCAUGGAAUGUAAACAAAUCAAGUAAAGCAAAUGCUAAAUUGCCACCAGGACCUCGGGGCUUGCCAGUAGUCCGAUACCUCCCAUUUCUUGGAACUACUGACUUACACAAGACAUUCACGGAGUUAUCUGGAGUUUAUGGUCCGAUCUUCAAGAUUUGGCUUGGGAAUAAAUUGUGUGUAGUGGUGACCUCGCCUACCCUAGUUAAACAAGUGGUCCGUGAUCAAGAUAUAACAUUCUCAAACCGCGACCCACCGAUCGCUGGAACUGUGACCACCUACGGUGGCAAUGAUAUUGCACUUUCCAAUUACGGUCCCGAAUGGAAAAAGUUGCGAAAAUUAUUUGUGAGCAAGAUGAUGAGUAAUGAGACCCUUGAUGCUUGUUAUGCUCUAAGAAAACAAGAGGUUAAAAAUACUAUCAGGGAUUUGUAUAACAACAAUAAGGAUAAUAUUGGCAAUGGCAAUGGCAAGCCCAUUGACGUUGGUGAAUUGUCGAUUUCAACUUUGGUACGUGUUAUGCAGAACAUGCUGUGGGGUCAAGCAUUGGAAACAAGAGAGAAAGAGAUUACUAAUCUCGGGGCUAAUCUUGCAGAACUCAUGGUGCUACUGGGAACACCAAAUAUUUCGGAUAUUUUUCCAGUGCUUUCAUGGCUUGACAUGCAAGGUAUAGAGAGAAGAGCUAAGAAGAUUUCUCUAUGGUUUGAAAAUAUUAUCAAUUCUGGUGUUGAACAGUAUAGAAACAAGUUCUCUGUUGUUAAAGGUGAAGAAGCUGCAGCACGAAAAAAUAUUGAACGAUCAAGAAAUAAGGACUUCUUGCAGUUGCUGUUGGAGCUUCAGGAAAAUGAAGAUAGUGCUUCAUCUAUUAGCAUGAACCAACUAAAGGCCGUGCUCGUGGUAUGUUAAGCAACUAGACACAAAAAGUUGUAAAAGCACAGCGAUAUAUUUGCGCGAGGCCCCGAGUGAUGUUUUGCCUCGAGAACUCUCAAUUUUAUCUUACGGUAAAAAAUGUUUUUCAACUUUUUUUUUUAAUUAGAAUUUUAUUGCAAUUUAUUUAACAGGACAUAAUUGUGGCCGGAACCGACACCACAACUACGAUGGUGGAAUGGACAAUGGCAGAGUUGAUGCAACAUCCACAAGUAAUGAAGAAAGUUCAAGAAGAAUUCGCUCAAGCUGUGGGCAUGGACAGUUGUGUUGAAGAAUAUCACUUGCCUAAAUUAAAGUAUUUAGAUGCUGUGGUGAAAGAAACAUUUCGUUUGCAUCCUGCGUUGCCCUUAUUGGUACCUCGCACGGCAAGCAAGAAUAGCAACAUUGGUGGCUAUACCAUUCCCAACGACACUAAUCUUAUGUUGAAUGUUUGGGCUAUCCACAGGGACCCUCAACUUUGGGAUAAUCCCUUAGAAUUUCGACCUGAGAGGUUCUUGAAUGAUGGUAUCAUAAGCAAUUUCAAUUACUCGGGUAACAAUUUUCAGUACUUGCCAUUUGGUUCUGGUAGAAGGAUGUGCGCUGGGAUUGCUCUAGCUGAGAGGAUGUUGAUGCUUGUUCUGGCUUCGUUGUUGCACUUGUUUGAGUGGAAAUUGCCCUCGGGCACAAAGCUAGACUUAUCUGAAAAGUAUGGGAUUGUCAUGCGGAAAAAAGAGCCUCUAAUUGCUAUUCCAACACCAAGGCUACCAAAUUCAGAUCUCUACCAGUAAGAUCAAAAUGGUUUUGAUAAUAUUAUUUCCCAUUGUAUUGGAUUUGAAGUUCAAUCAUAAUAAAAUAUUUUAAUAAAAUGUCCUCGGUUGCUAAUUUUUCAAUAGUAUAAUCUGCACCUGUCUUUUAUAGCAAUUUGGUCUAAUUUAUUUUUGAAUUAAAAUCCAUAAAUAUUUAUAUUUUUUUAAUUAUAUUAGGAAUUAUGUGGGGUGUAUGGUCUGAUCUUCGAGCUAUGCCUUGAAAACAAAUUAUGCAUAGUCGUGCACACGCUUUCCCUAAUUAAGUUUGUGGUUCGUGCUCAAGGCACAGCAUUCACCCCCCGCGACCCAACAAUCGCUACAUUGUUCCCCACCUAAAGUGCCAACAUAUUGCAUAAGUAACGCAAAAUAUGGUCCCCAAUGGAAAACGUUGCGCAAAUUAUUUCUGGGCAAGAUGAUAAGUAACGCAAGCCUUGAUGCUUGUUAUGGUCUAAGAAAACAAGAGGUUAAAAAUACUAUCAGAGACAUAUAUAAAACAACAACAGAAAAAAUUGGCAUUAUCAUCGAUAAUGGUGAGUUGUGGAUUUCAACUUUGGUAUGUUUAAUUCAGAACCCGCAGUGGGGUGGCGCUAGCACGCCUGCGUUAGGAGACGAGGGGACCAAUCUUGGGGCCGAGCUAAAAUAUAGGCUUGUAGAGCUCAUGCUGCUAAUGGUAAUGGGAACACCUACUAUUUCGGAUACUUUUCCGAUGCUGGUUUAAUUCAUGGUUUAGAAAGGAGAACAAAGAAGAUUUUUCGAUGCUUUGAAAAUAUUAUAAUUUUUAUAAAAUCUCUUAUUGAUAACUAAACAACUAAAAUUUCUGUAAAGUUUUUGUGGACUUUUGAUCUCCUAUGGUGCCAAUAUUUUCGACUAAUUUUUUCCUUCAAUUAAUGAUGUUGGUUGAGAAAGACUAUUUUUCUUGCAAUAAUAUAGUAUUCGUGGUCCUAUUAGGGUUCCGAAUGGAGAAAGUUGCACUAAGUUUUUUGAGUACCAAAUGAUGAGUAAUGUACGUAAGCCUUGAUGGUAGUUAUGGUCUAAGAAAACAAGAGGUUAAAAAUACUAUCUGGGAUUUGUACAACAAUAACAAAAUUGGCAAGCCCAUUGACAUUGGUGAAUUGUCAGUUUCAACCUUGGUAAGUGUUUUCAGAACAUGCUGUGGGGUGAAGCGCUUGGAAUAAGAAAGAAACGGAUGACGAAUAUUGGGGCUGAGCUUAGAUUUAAACUUGCAGAACUCAUGGUGCUGUCAGGAACACCGAAUAUUUCGGAUAUCUUUCCAGUGCUUUCAUGGUUUGAUAUACAAGGUUUUGAGAGAAUAGCAAAGAAGAUUUCUCUAUGGUUUUAAAAUAUUAUCAAUUCUACUGUUGAACGCUAUAGAAACAAGGUCUCAGUUGUUAAAAGUGAAGAAGAAGACGCAGCAGCAGCAGCAGCAGGGAACAACAUUGAAGGAAGGAAUAAGGACCUGGUGCAGUUACUCUUGGAGCUUCAAGGUAAAGAAGAAAAUGCUUCAUCAAUUAACAUGACGCAAUUUAAGAGCUUGCUCGUGGUAUGUUUGCGCAACUAGCCACAGACAGUUACAGAAACUGAGUUUGGCAGAUUACGACCGUUUCUGGUGAUUAUAUAACUAUUUGUGGCUGUUUUUUGUUUUUUUUUUCUUUUAAUUGGAAUUUUAUUGUAAAUUUCUUAACAGGAUAUAAUUUAGGGUGGAACCAACACCACAACUAUAAUGGUGGAAUGGACAAUGGCAUAAUUGAUACAGCAUCCACAAGUAAUGGAGAAUGUAAAGGUAGAACUAAGUCGGGCCGUGGCCAUUGACAGCCAUGUUGAAGAAUUUCACCUACCUAAGUUAAAAUAUUUAGAUGUUGUGGUGAAAGAAACAUUCCGCACGAUAAUAUAAUAUAUGAAUCAUAUAUCCUCUAUUGGUUUUUUGCUCCUUUUUUUUUCAAUAGCUUAAUCUAUCAUUAAAAUCUUCUGAAAUUCUAAAUUAAUAUACAUUCAACCUAGAGUUCAACCCAAAGUUUUAUUGAGCAUUAAAAAAAAAAAUUCUACGACUAAAAAUUUUACAGAGUAUAAAUUAAAAAUUAUGCGCCUACUAACAGACAAAAAACAAUUGAUACACAUUCACCAAUCAAAGGCAAACAAGAGAUUAUUAACAAUAACUUAAUAAUAAAAUUAUAAGGAAUCAAAUAGAAAUGGUACCUAGAAACACAUCACGCCAUUUAAUCAAUCACUUACCCAUAAAAUCCAAACUUAUAAACUAUUAAGGGGGGGAAAUGGAUACCUUUGGGUUUCAUUAAAUCAAAAUUACAACACCAUUAAAUACUCAAAAAUGAAAAAAAAAAAAUCAUACCCAAUAAAAGAGAAAAAAAUAACCCACAAAAAAAAUCAUCAAGAAAAUAAAUUUGAGACUAAGAGAAGAUAUUAAUUAACGCCUGGGUUGCAUUGGAACCACGGCUUUGGCUUCCAUUUUUCAAUUCUUGGUCACAAGUGAUUUCUUGUUUGUUUGCAAUGAUGACGGUUGAUUAAUGAAGCUCUAUUAACAAUGAAUGAAUCAAAAAACUUGAGCCUUGAAAAGACUAACGGUCAUAUUUUUCAACUCCGAAUUAGUGGCGUUUGAUGAGUCCUUGCCAAAACAAUCACUCGGCAGAUAACGAUCAUUUUUCAACCAGCAAAACUCAUUCAUUGUUUUUCACCUUAGUGAAGAUUUAAAAAUUGUUUCAAAAUAGGAUUCUUAAAAAAAUAAUAAUAAAAUGAUAUUUAACUUAAUUCUAACUUAGGAAAACAAAAUAUCUACACUCCCAAAGUUUGGAGAAAUGGUCAUUAAUAUCCCCAACUUUCCAAAAAGAGACACCAAGAACCCUUUUAACCAUAAUACUAUUUACUUCUAUUAUCCCAAAAAACAAUUGACUCUAAUAUUUUAUAAUAAAUAAAAAUAUAACAUUAAAAUAAAUGUAAUAGUAUAUACAUUUUAAAAUAGUUUCAAUAUUUAAAAAGCAUUUUAAUAUUUUUAAAUUCUAUUUUAUAUAUAUUGAUUAUUUUAAAGUAAAUUUUAUAAUAAAUAGAAUCAUAAUAUUAAAAUAAAUGCAUUAAAAUUUAAAUUAUUUUGAAUAUUAUGUAAAAUAAUAAUUUUAACAUUAUUAGUAUAUGAGAAUUUUUUUAAUUGUAGAAUGCAUUUAAUGCAAAUAUUUAUUUAAAAUCUCUACAAUAAAUAAAAAUAUACUAUUAAAACAAAACUCUACAAUACAUACAUACAUACAUAUACAUUGGCCUGGUAUUUUUAUUUUUCAUUUUUAAACUUAUUAAAUCCUCUAACUAUCAUUUGAUUUUUUUUUUUUUUCAAUGAUCAAGAGGUCAUUGCCGGAUAAAUGAUUAAAAUCAACUAGUUCUACAAGAAUAUCUCUUUUUAAAGGAAGAUGAUUCUCUCUCUCGAAAUUUUUUUAUCUCGUGCUACAAACUAAAAACUUAUGCCACUUCAUUAACCACAAAGAUCUUUGAGGAAAUGAUGCUUCCCUCCCCCCCCCCCCCCCCCCCCCUCCCACAAAAAAAAAAAAGAGUCCUUCCAUAUUGUGUGAAGGCUAAUAUAUCGAUGAAUCUAGAUUUCUUUAAAUUUUUUGUUUUACUCAAUUCGAGAUAAUAAUUCAAUCCAUGCAAAUAUCUAUCAUUGUAUGAGCUGACCAGUUAAUAGGUUGAUUGAAUAUAUGUGGUAAAGAUUCCACGUAUCUCAUGACAGAAUGCUGACCACUGGAACCCUAUCUACUUUUACGCGAUUAAUUCACGAGCUUAGGCACAACAAUUGCAAUACAAAUUAUCCCCUCAUCGUAUAUUUCGUUAAAAUUCAUUCUGAAGCAGUAAAACUAAACAAUCGAAUAUGGCUUUGCGGGUCGAUGAUGCCAGCAGCAAUGAGAGUGCAAUUAUCACUUGUUUAGUUUCUGUGCUUGCCGUGGCUUAUUUCGCAUGGAAUGUGAAAAAAUCAAGGAAAGCAAAUGCUAAACUGCCACCAGGAACUCGCGGCUUGCCUGUAGUCGGAUACCUCCCAUUUCUCGGGACUACUGACUUGCACAAGAAAUUCACGGAAUUUAUUUUACUAUUAUAUUUAUAUUCAAAAUAAUUUUAAUUAGCUUUUAAAAUGAAUGAUUUUAGGAAAUUAUAAAUAAAGGUAACUAAGAAUUCUCUUAAUGCAAUAUAUUAUUAAUUAGUUUAAAAAUACAAAUUUAUUAAUUAGAGAAAUUAUUAGUGAAUUUAAAUUAAUGAUCUUAAUGAUUUGUUUGUACGAUUGCCCCCAAUCAAAGGUAAUUUUCCUAAAAAUUAUUAGGAAAUUAGAGAAAUUUAAUUUUUUUUAGUGGGUUCAAUUGCCCACACACCCCGACUGAAGCAUUUUUUACAAUAUGUACUCCGUUUGUCGGCAGGAAAAUAAAGGUCUUGACACAUGAUCACUUCAUUCCUUUAUUUACUUUGCGAACGCAGAUUUUGAGGUAUUAAAACAAAUAAUAAUUGAAUAUGACUUUGUGGGUCGACGACGCCAGCAACGAGGAGACCGCCAAUUAUCACAUUUUAAGUUUGCUGUAAUUGCCAUUGUUUUAUAUUAGUAGAAUAUUAGUGAUAAGAUAAUUGUAGAGUUUUCAUUUUUUUAAUAUUAAAAUCAAGUCAAUUUAUUAUAAUAAAUUUAGUUGAAUUUAAUCGUAUUACCACAUAAAUUGAAUAAUAAUAGAAUUCUCCACAAAUAUUUCAAUAUUUUAAUCUCAAGCAUUGGAGUGGCAUUUAUUUGUUAUGCGGUCGAUUUUAGAAUUUUUAAAAUUAUUCGUUACUGAAUUGCACCAUAUGCUGCAUCACCUGGAACUUACUAAACGGAACGUAGCGUUGGCACCGUUACCAACAUUCACUGUUACGACUUUGUGACAUUAGAAUUAAAAUCUUUUCCACAUCUAAUUUGUUUACUUCCAAAUUAAUAUUUAACAAAAUAUUUUUUCACAUUAUCAAUGGACAAAACUCCAACGAAAAUAACUAUACAAGAAAAAUGUAUGCUAGAAUUGUAUGCCAUAUCAUCUGUAAUUUUGUCAGGAUCGAUCAUUCUAAUUUUGAAGCAGAACUUUUUAUCAAUGGACAAACACCUCACACAGCUUGUCAGAGGCAUUAUUAUGAUGUAAGAUUGUAAUGGUAUAUCUUGAAUUAUUGGUAGAAUAGUGAAUAACUAUUUGGAGCAAUAAAAACAAAUAAGACAGAUGAGAAAAUGGCUAAAAUUAUAUAAGUGACCCAAAUUGUUUUGCUAUUUCCAAGAAAUCCCCAAUCUGAAUGGACCAGCCAGAGGGAGGCAAGUUAGAAAUAUGUUUCCUUCAUAGACAAUAACAACGAUGAGUCGAUGACAUCAAGCCACGUCGGUAUCAAUAUUGAAAUAAAGGUGCAAUUAUUCAGCCAAUGAGCCUUACACAUCGAGAUAAAAGUCAAGAAAAUGAAAAUUUAUCCCAAUUAAAACACUUUCUGGCUGCAUUUAGCUGUUUCCAUUUGAAGUUAAAAACAACGUUUCUUUCGUUUUGUGGGCGACUCGACUGAGCUAGCUGGCUUCUAGUGCUGGUAAGUGAAAAUAGAAGGCUAAUGAUUUCACUUUCACAUUUUUCUUUUCCUUUUUUGGGAAUCAAAGUCAAGGUCAAGAAGAAUAAAUGGAGAAUUCGGAAAAAUGGGUGCAUAAUGUGAUCCAUUCAUGAAGAAGAGUACGUGAGCGUCGGGCAACAGUAUUUUUACCUAUUAAGCUCCAGUUUAAUUUUGUUGUAGGAAAACAAAAUUUUGUUUUCAAUUCACAUCGUGUGCAUCCAAUUCAACAAACACUUUGUAAUAAUUAAUGUUGAGUUGUAUCCUACGUUAAGGAGAGUUACUUAAAUUUAUAAAUAGGAUAAAUUACUCUAUUUAAUAAGUUAAUGUUUUCUUCUUUCUUCUAGAUUACAUAUAAAUUUAGUCAGAUAACCUAACACAUAUUUUAAUACUCGAUCAGAAGCCCUAAGCAGUGGUGGAUCCAAUAAAUUGAUUUAUAUGGUGUAAUAAUGUAAUAAAAAAAUGGUGAUUCAUAAAAUUGACCCAAUAUCAAAAUUUGUUUGCAAGAUUACUCCCCACUCAAAGGUAAUUUUCCUAAAAAUUAAUAGGAAAUUUAAUUGUCAUUGGGAUCAAAUUGCCCCCACACUCUUGAAUGUAGAUCCUCCCCUGGCCUUGAGUCAAGUAUUUUUUCCAAUAUAUACUCCGAAUGUCGGCAGGAACAACCUUCCACUUUAAUUUAAAAUUUUUACUUGAAAAAUUAAUUAAUGUUAAUAAAGUUCGUAAGAGAAAUGAGUUUAAUAAAAGAAAAUUAUAGGAGAAAUUCUAAUGUUUGUCUUUUAAUAAAUUAGUUUAUAAGUUUAAAAAGUUAACAUAUAUCAAAAUAUUAUUGAUUGGUGGUGGUUUCACGUCAGAUUAAGACGUGACACUUUACUUGUGAGACUGAGACAAUCAGCUUAGACUACUUCAAUAGGUUUGAAGCGUAGGCGGCACCCAUUCAAUUUGCACCAAUGUCUAUCAUUCUUUGUCCUAAUUACUACGAUAAUUAAUAACAUGCAAUUGAAAUUAUUAAUGUUAGUACUUGCCUAUAAAUAAAGGUAUUGUACUUGAAUCUUCAUAGAUGAUCACUUCAUUCCUUUAUUUACUUUGGUAACACAGAUUUUGAGAGACAUUAAAACUAAAGAAUAAUUGAAUAUGGCUUUGUGGGUUGAUGAUGCCAGCUCCAACGUGAGUGCAAUUAUCGCAUGUUUAAUUGCUCUAUUAGCCGUGGUCUAUUUCGUGUGGACAAGGAAAACAAAUGCUAAACUUCCACCAGGACCUCGCGGCUUGCCUGUAAUCGGAUACCUCCCUUUUCUCGGAACUACUGACUUGCACAAGACAUUCACGGAAUUAGCUGGUGUGUAUGGUCCAAUCUUCAAGCUCUGGCUUGGCAACAAAUUGUGUGUAGUGGUGAGCUCGCCUUCCCUAGUUAAACAAGUGGUUCGUGAUCAAGAUAUAACAUUCGCUAACCGCGACCCACCGAUCGCUGGACUCGUGGCCUCCUUUGGUGGCAAUGAUAUUUUAUUUUCCAAUUAUGGUCCUGAAUGGAGAAAGUUGCGCAAAUUAUUUGUGGGCAAGUUGAUGAGUAACGCAAGUCUUGACGCUUGUUAUGCUCUAAGAAAACAAGAGGUUAAAAAUAUAAUCAGGGAUUUGUAUAAUAACAACAAAACUGGCAAGCCCAUAGAUGUUGGUGAGUUGUCGAUCUCAACUUUUGUAUGUGUUAUACAGAACAUGCUAUGGGGUGAAGCUCUUGAAUUAAGAGAGAAAGGGAUCAGUAACCUUGGGGCUGAGCUAAAGUUUAAGCUAGCAGAACUCGUGGUGCUAAUGGGAACACCGAAUAUUUCGGAUAUCAUUCCGUGCUUUCAUGGCUUGAUAUACAAGGUAUAGAGAAGAGAACAAAGAAGAUUUCUCUAUGGUUUGCACAAGCACAGCUGUAUUAGUUAUGUGUUUUAACUUUAUUUUAAUUAGACUUUUAUUGUUAUCGUUUUAACAGGACAUAAUUUCUGGUGGAAACGACACAACAACUACAACGGUGGAAUGGACAAUGACAGAGUUGAUGCACAAUCCACGAGUAAUGAAGAAGGUUCAAGAGGAAUUAGCUCAAGUUGUGGCCAUGGACAGCUGUGUUGAAGAAUUUCACUUGCCCAAAUUAAAGUACUUAGAUGCUGUGGUGAAAGAAACAUUUCGGCUGCAUUCUGUGCCCUAUUUAGUACCACGUAGGGCAAGCCAAAGUAGCAGCAUUGGUGGCUAUACUGUUCCUAAAGAUACAACGAUUAUAUUGAAUGUUUGGGCAAUCCACAGAGAUCCUCAAAUUUGGGAUAACCCCUUAGAAUUUGGACCAGAGAAGUUUUUGAAUGAUGGUAUUGCGAGCAAAUUUGAUUACUCGGGUAACAAUUUUCAGUACUUGCCGUUUGGUUCUGGCAGAAGGAUGUGUGCAGGGAUUGCUCUGGCAGAGAGGAUGCUGAUGUUUGUUCUGGCUUCACUGCUGCACUCAUUUGAUUGGAAAUUACAGGCAGGCACAAAGCUAGACUUAUCUGAAAAGUUUGGGAUUUUGAUUAAGAAAAAGGAGCCUUAGGUUGCUAUUCCAACACCAAGACUACCCAAUUCAGAGCUCUACCAAUAAGACAAAUGGUUGUGAUGGUAUUGUAUCCCCACUGUAUUGGAAGAUUUGUAUGUUAUUUCAAGUUCAAUCAUAAUAAGCAUAUUAAUAAAUGUCUUCAGGUUGUUAUUUUUUCGCUGGCCCAAUCGAUCAUCAUACUCGUGUUUUCGAGCUAUUUAUUUAUUUUUGAAUUGCAAUCUGAAAUAUAUGUACUUUAAAUUUCUUACAAGAUUUUAAAUUUAUAUACAUCUACAACCCAAAAUCUCCCAAAAAAUCUAAAAUUCAAAAAUUUACAAAGCAUAGACCAAAAUUUUUAUACCAACUAAUUUUUUGAUCAAUUCUACACUUUCUAAAAGGAGAGACGUUUACUCCAAUAUUUGGACUACAAUUAUAUCUAAGCUUAGGUGCCAAAUAAUAAAUUUAUAAGUAAAUUGGAUUUUGAACAUGGAGAGAGUUCUAAAACAACUUGCUUAAAGCAAAUGAACUGUCCAAUUAAUUCAAUUUUUCAAAAACAAAUCUUUAAACAUUCAACGGACAUUUUCACAAGCUUCUGGAAGGCACAAUCUAAAACCCAACAAAGAAUUCAAAAAAUCUUUGAACUUCUCACAAGCUUCUUGGAGAGAUGCGACGGCGCUGCUUUGGUAACUCAGAAGGCUCAGAGAUCUUUGAGGAAAUCAUGGUUCGCUUUCUUUUUUAUCUUUCCUCCUAAUCCUUGCAAAUUGUGUGAAGGCCAAUAAAUCCAUGAAUCUAAAUCUCUGUAAAUUUCUUUUUUCCCAAAUUUAGAUAAUUAUUUACUCCAUGCACAAUAUAUAUCACUGUAUCAGCUGUUCUUUUUUUUUUUUUUUGGAUGGGGCGGCAGUUUAGAAGAGCUGGAGGGUGUUCUUGACAGAGCUCAAAUUUUUUGUGUGCUCGUUGGGUGGAUAUAUCAAUCAAAGAUAUCCCAUACAGUGACAUCUGUCGUGAUCAAAUUAUUAGUUGAUCAAUGAUUUCGACAUCUGUUUACUGUAAUAAAAUUUGUCACUAUACAUUGAUGAAAGUGUUUGAUGUGAUUUUCUAACUGCUACCGACGGGAAACAGUUAAUAGGUUGAUUGAAUUUGUGGGAUAUAGAUUCCACAUAUCGCAUGACAGGAUCCUGACCACUCGAAUCUUAUCUACAUUUACACGAUUAAUACACCAGCUUAGCUGUGACAGUGCCAUUACAAAUUAUCCUCUCAUCAUUUGUCUUGUUAAAAUUCAUUCUGAAACACUGAGACUAAAUAUACGAAAAUGGCUUUGUGGGUCGAUGAUGCGAGCCGGAAAGAGACUGUAAUUAUCACUUGUUUAGUUGCUGUACUCGCCGUGGUCUAUUUCGCAUGGAAUGUGAACAAAUCAAGUAAAGCAAAUGCUAAACUGCCGCCGGGACCUCGUGGUUUGCCUGUAGUCGGAUACCUCGCAUUUCUCGGAACUACUGACUUGCACAAGACAUUCACCGAUUUAUCUGGAGUCUAUGGUCCGAUCUUCAAGCUCUGCUUUGGAAACAAACUGUGUGUAGUGGUGAGCUCGCCUUCCCUAGUUAAACAAGUGGUCCAUGAUCAAGAUCUAACAUUCUCUAACCGCAGCCCAUCGAUCGCUGGACUUGUUACCACCUAUGGUGGCAAUGAUAUUGCACUUUCCAAUUAUGGUCCAGAAUGGAGAAAGUUGCGCAAAUUAUUUGUGAGCAAGUUGAUGAGUAACUCAAGCCUUGACGCUUGUUAUGCUCUAAGAAAACAAGAGGUUAAAAAUACUAUCAGGGAUUUGUAUAACAGCGACAGGGACAAUAUUGGCAAUGGCAGUGGCAAGCCCAUUGACAUUGGUGAAUUGUCGAAUUCAACUUUGGUAUGUGUUAUGAAGAACAUGCUGUGGGGUGAAGCGCUUGAAUUAAGAGAGAAAGGGAUUACUAAUCUUGGAGCUGAGCUAAAAUUUAAGUUUGCAGAAUUCAUGGUGCUACUUGGAACACCGAAUAUUUCGGAUAUCUUUCCAGUGCUUUCAUGGCUUGAUAUACAAGGUAUAGAAAGAAGAGCAAAGAAGAUUUCUCUCUGGCUUGAAGAUGUCAUAAAUUCUACUGUUGAACAGUAUAGAAACAAGGACUUUGUUAUUGAAGGUGAAGAAAGAGCAGGGAACAAUAUUGAAGGAUCAAGGAACAAGGACUUCUUGCAGUUAUUAUUGGAGCUUCAAGACAAUGAAGACAGUGCUAACUCAAUUAGCAUGAACCAAUUUAAGGCCUUGCUCGUGGUAUGAUAAACAACUAGCCACAAACAGUUAUACAAGCAAAGCUGUAUAUUUGCAUGAGUGAUGUUUUGCCUCCAGAAUUCUCAAUUUUUAUCUUAUACAAUGAAAUGUUUUUCAGUUCUUUUUUUUUAAUUGGAAUUUAAUUGUAAUCUUUUGAACAGGAUAUAAUUACGGGUGGAACCGACACCACAACUACGAUGGUGGAAUGGACUAUGGCAGAGUUGAUGCAGCAUCCACUAGUAACGAAAAAAGUUCAUGAAGAAUUAGCUCAAGUUGUGGGUAUGGACAGUUGUGUUGAAGAAUUUCACUUGCCUAAAUUAAAGUAUUUAGAUGCUGUGGUAAAAGAAACAUUUCGUCUGCAUCCUGCACAGCCGUUAUUAGUACCACAUAGGGCAAGCGAGAGUAGCAGCAUAGGUGGCUAUACCAUUCCCAAAGAUACAACUCUUAUGUUGAAUGUUUGGGCUAUCCACAGGGACCCUCGACUGUGGGAUAAUCCCUUAGAAUUUCGACCUGAGAGGUUCUUGAACGAUGGUAUUGCGAGCAAAUUUGAUUACUCGGGUAAAAAUUUUCAGUACUUGCCAUUUGGUUCUGGCAGAAG